This 47429-nucleotide long non-coding RNA is filed under the name Citrus x clementina. RNAcentral's name for it is "Citrus clementina (C. clementina) long non-coding RNA (CCLE_LNC000260)". Lineage: Eukaryota; Viridiplantae; Streptophyta; Magnoliopsida; Sapindales; Rutaceae. The record is from RNAcentral.
GAAAUAGAUGUGGUAAUGUUUAUAUAAUUGACAUAGAAUGUGCAUCUACUCUUGAUAAAUGUUUUUCGGCAUUGCAUGAUGAUAGUUGGUUAUGACAUAGAAAACUAGGACAUGCAAGUAUGGAUUUGAUUUCAAAAAUUUUGAAAAAUGAUUUAGUCAAAGGUCUUCUAAAAAUCGGUUUUCAACAGGAUAGAAUUUAUGAAGCUUGUCAAUUUGGAAAAAAAAAUCAAAACAUCUUUUAAAAACAAAAAUCAUAUUUUCACUUAAAAACAACUUCAACUUCUUCACGUAUAUUUGUUUGGACCUUCAAGGUAUGCUAGCUUGAAUGGAAAAUAUUACACUUUUGCAAUUGUUGGUGAUUUUUCAAGAUACACAUGGGUAUUAUUCUUAACUAAUAAUGAUGAUGCUCUUGAUGCUUUUAAAGUACUUUGUAAGAAAAUUCAAAAUGAAAAAGGGUAUGGUAUUGUAUGCACUAGAAGUGAUCGUGAAGGCAAGUUUGAAAACUCCACAACAAUCUUGGCAUUGUGCACAAUUUUCAUCACCUAGAACUCCACAACAAAAUGGAGUUGUUGAGAGAAAGAAUAGAUCAAUUCAAGAAAUGGCUAUGACUAUAUUGAAUGAAAAUUCUUUGCCUAAGUAUUUUUGGGCCGAGGCCGUCAACACCGCUUGUUAUGUUUUAAAUCGUGUGUUGAUUAGAUCUAAUCUUAAUAAAACUCCAUAUGAGCUUUGGAAAGAUAAAAAACCUAAUAUUGGUUAUUUCAAAGUUUUUGGAUGGAAAUGUUUUAUUUUGAACACAAAAGAUAAUCUUGGCAAAUUUGAUCAAAAAUCCAAUGUUGGUAUUUUUCUUGGAUAUUCAAAUUCAAGUAAAGCUUAUAGAGUUUAUAACAAAAGAACUCUAGUUGUAGAAGAAUCUAUGCAUGUUACAUUUGAUGAGUCUAACCCCUCCUCUGUGGAGAAAGGAAUUACUUAUGAUGAUGCAGAUGGAGAGUUACAAGAAGAAUCAUCAAAGGAUAAACAAGAGAAUGCACCACAAAAAAAUCAAGAGAACGGACAAGACGAGCAAACAAAUAUGGAACAACAUGAAGGUACUUCUCAAGCACUCCCCAAGGAGUGGAGGUAUAUUUCUUCACAUCCUAAGGAUGUAAUUUUAGGAGAUCCCUCACGAGGUGUUACAACUAGAUCAUCACCUAGGAAUGCUUGUGAGCAUAAUGCAUUUAUUUCUCGAAUUGAACCCAAAUCCUUUGCGGAUGCAGAAAAUGAUGAAUCUUAGAUUAUGACAAUGCAAGAGCAGUUAAAUCAAUUUGAGAGAAAUAAUGUGUGGGAAUUAGUUCCUAAACCGAAACAUCAAUCUAUCAUAGCUACUAAAUAGGUUUUUAGGAAUAAGAUGGAUGAAUCCGGUGUGGUUAUAAGGAAUAAAGCUAGAUUAGUUGCUCAAGGUUACAACCAAGAAGAAGGAAUUGAUUUUGAUGAAACAUUUGCACCCGUAGCUAGAUCAGAAUCAAUUAGAAAAAAGAGAGCCUAUGGCUGACUAUUCAAUUUUUUAGUAAGGGUUUCAAUAUUUGAUUGGACAAUCAGAAGGAGAAUUAACUCUGUUUUCUCAUGAAUUUGGAAUGUAAGUUCUUAGCAUAGUCCUCUACAUUCUUACUAGUCUUGAUUUUUAUUUUAUCCUUUCGGUGGCUGUUAUUUAAAAUACUCAUUUGUUAGAGAGAUAGAUAUUAGAGUGUUAUUGUGAGCCAAAAUUGUUGAGAUUGCUGAUGUUGUUAAUAUCUAAUGUUAUCUAAAGAAGAAUUUGUGUUUUAAUCCCAUUAUUUAUUUAGUUGAACAUUAUAUUGGACUAUAAUCUCAUAGUUUUUUUUCCAAUUUGGGUUUUCUAUGUAAAAAUUUGUGUCUCUUCUAGUUGAUUUAUUACUUUGGAUUGUAUUGGUUUAUUUUCUGUGUAUUAAUUUGUGAUGCAUAUUGUUGAGUGUUAGAAAAUGUAUAUUUAUAAAGGAGAAAACCGUCAUUUUACAUUUCAAGUCUUACUAACACCUUUACUUUCAUGAAUUUAACCUUCUUUUGAUUUAAUUCCGUUUGUUUUAUUUUAAUUAAGUAUUUUAUGUAUUUUAGGGGCAUUAUAGUCAUUUCACAAUAAAUAAGAGAUCAGACGGCAAAACGGAUAUCACUUUUGAACUCAGGACGGUCGAAAACCUUAGGAGGAGCAUAAAAGGAAAAAUGACAUUAUUCACAUGUACGGUACUAUUCACGGAUACGGUACUGUCUACGUUACUGUUCAUGACACUGUUCACAUAGACGGAUCGAUGACGUGGCAUUGACUGAUGAGGUGUCACGAUCCUGUUGGACUAAAAUUCUUAUAUACUGUUGAUGGUGACGUGGCAGCAUAUUAGUGGACGAAAAAUCUCGCGUACGGUGCAUGCAUCACACAGGAUUAUUUUCAACCAAACCGCGUUACUGUUCAUCCGGGUCAAACUGUGUUACUGUUCAUCCGCGUGGUCAAACCGUGGACUGUUGACUGAUGACGUGGCCCAAUCCUGAGCGUCCAAACUGUUUUUAAUCCGAUGGCCAUGAUUUACUCCAUGUAUCUAUAAAAAAGGGGUCUCUCCCCCCUAAUUUGAUAUCUCUGAAUCCAUUUUUGGGAUCCAUUUUCUGUAAUUCCUUUUCCAUCUUGUAUUUUCUUCGUAUUUUAAUAAAUUCCCAUUUUGCCCCUAGUUCAAUUAUGAGUGGCUAGUUUUCUUUCAAGCUUGGGUUGAAGGUGAAGUCUCAACAUGUGUCAUGGGCUUAAUUUGGUAAAUUUAUUUUCUCUUCCCCUCUAGUUUUUGUGGAUGUUUUGACUUCUCGUCGACAAAUAAUACUAAUCUUGUCUAGUAUCGCCUUGGUUUCACCGGCCCUCUAGUACAAGGUUAUUAUUAUUUGGCACGAUAAGCCCUUAGCACCAUAUUGAUUAGAGCGUGGUUCAUGAGGUGUGGAUUCCCCCCUUAUGAUUUAAUUGGCAUUAAUACGGAUUAUUUAGCCCAUGAUGCAUGUUGAUACGGAUCCAGAUACCCAAGUACGACAUUUCAAUAGAAUUCUCUUCAAUUUAUUCUCGCCAUUUCAAUUCUAAUUUUAGAAUUUAUUCUCGCCAUUUUAAUUUAAAUUUUAGCAUAUUCCAAAUCUUUUCCACCACAAAUCCAAUCACCCAUUUACAAAAUUAAUUCUACACAAUUAAAAUCUACCUCCUCGUGGGAUCGACACUCGUCACCAUUGAUCUAUACUACAAUAGAUUCGUGCGCUUGCGAGUAUAUUAAAAUUUGCACAACAAGUUUUUGGCGCCGUUGCCGGGGAGGUAAGUAAUUUUAAUUCGUAAAAUUAAUUUUUGUGAAUAAUUCCAUUUAAAUUGUUUCUUGUAUUUUUUUUUUUUUAAAAAAAAGUGAAUCUACAUUUAAAGGUUAGUAUUUUUUUUCUUUUUCUCUUAUUUAAAAUUCUGUAAUUUAAUUUUCAAUUUAUUUUUCUUUGUAAUUUUUUUAUUUUAUUUUAAUUAAUUUAAUUUUUAGUUAAUUUCUUUCACGUAUUUAUUUUUGUGUAUUUUUAUAGAAAGGUUUUAAUAGCGCAAUAAGGUUAGUAUCGUAAUUUCUCCCUCUUAUUUAUUUUUAUUUGUUUUGCAUGCAUGGUCGUAGGUCAUUAUUACCUAAUCUUGAACCUAUAGACCUUGAAUUAGAAAAAACACUUAGCACACAAAAGCACAUUAAAAAUAAAUUUGAAACGGAUUUACAAGCACCACAGGAGAGGCCAUUUAAAGACUAUUUUAGUCCCUUAGCUAAUUUGAGCACAUCAUGCAUAAGAUACCCAAAUGUAGCUGCUAGGAGUUUUGAAUUAAAACCCAGUGUGCUAAAUUGUCUCCCAACAUUUUAUGGCCUAGAAAAUGAGGAUCCAUAUAAUCAUCUGAAUGAUUUUCAUGCCAUUUGUCAAACUUUUAAAUAUGAAAAUUUUUCAGACGAUGAUGUUAAACUUAGACUAUUCCCAUUUUCUUGAAAAGAUAGAGCUCGUUCAUGGUUAAAUACUUUACCUGCUAAUAGCAUUUCAUCAUGGGAACAAAUGGUAACUAAAUUUUUGAAUAAAUAUUUCCCAGUGCAUAAAACCAAUGCUAUUCGCAGGGAAAUCUCGGAGUUCAUCCAGAGAGAGGACGAGCAAUUUUUCGAAACAUGGGAGCGAUUCAAUGGGCUACUCUUGAAGUGUCCACAUCAUGGGUACGAGAAAUGGCACCAAUAUCAAUACUUUUUGGAGGGAUUACUACCGAAUGUGCAAGAAUGGCUAAUGGCAACAAGUGGAGGAGAGCUAAUGUCAAAAAGUGCAUCAGAAAUUUGGGAAUUCUUCCAGCGACAAGCAGAUAAUUCCCAACAACGGAGUCGAUCACUCAGGACUACUAGAAGAAUUAAAGGAGUGAAUGAGGUUCAAAUUGGCGAAUCAACUUCAGGAAUCAAAGAAGUCAAGGAGAUGGUUGAAGGUCUUGCUCGACAAAUAGCAUCGUUAUCGACUGCUAAAUCAACUGAACCACAUGACCUUGACUCAUACUCGGAUCAAGCCAAUGCCAUAGGUAUAAUGAGAAAACCAUCAAAUUACAACCCAUACUCCAACACAUAUAAUCCUGGAUGGAGAGACCACCCCAAUUUUUUAUGGUCUCAAGGAUUCCAACAGAAUGGACCAGCAGCUCCAGCUCCACCAAUGCAACAAAUUCCUCAAGUUCCUCAAGCCUCUCAGCCACCAUUUAGACCAUACAAUCAGAACCAGAACCACUCUCAACCUAGACCAUGAGAGGAUGCAUUCCAGAAUUUCAGGAAUGUUACUCACUCCACGAUUGAGCAACAGAACCGCACCAUUGAUGGACUACGAAAUGAGUUGAGAGCAGGCUUCAACUCACAAGCUCAAUCAGUUUCAAGCCUCGAGAAGAUGGUGGGACAACUUGCUUCUUCAGUUCAGACCUUGGCAAUGACUGUUGAGAAAGGCAAAUUUCCAAGUCAACCAGUGCCUAAUCCUAAAGGAGUACAUGAAGCAAGUACCAGUUCACCACAGCAGCAUGGAGAGGUCAAAGCAGUCAUGACCUUACGAAAAGGAAAAGAAGUCGACAAUAAAGUGGAGAUGCCGGUGACAAAAGAAAAUCAAAUUGUACCUGUGAAUGUUGAAGACUUAUCACCGGAGGAGAAAGAAGAAACCAACCCACGGGAAUAUGUUCCCAAAGCUCCAUUUCCUCAGAGGUUAGCUAAAGGAAAAAAGGGAAAAUCCACAGGUGAGAUUCUUGAAAUCUUCAAACAGUUAAGUGUUAACAUCCCUUUGCUUGAUGCUAUUAAGCAAGUUCCAUCUUAUGCCAAGUUUCUUAAAGACCUUUGUACUAAAAAGAGAAAUAUGCAUGUUCAAAAGAAGGCAUUUUUAACAGAAAACGUUAGUUCUAUACUCCAACAUAAAAUUCCUUUAAAAUGCAAAGACCCAGGCUCCCCCACUAUCUCACGUAGUAUAGGGAACCACACAAUUGAGAAUACUUUGUUGGAUUUAGGAGCUAGUGUAAAUCUUUUGCCUUACUCUGUAUUCGUGAAACUUGGACUGGGAGAAUUACACCCAACUCCAGUGGUGUUACAGCUUGCAGAUCGGUCCACGAAAAUACCUCGUGGUAUUGUGGAGGACGUGCUUAUCCAGGUAGACAAGUUUUAUUUUCCUGUUGAUUUCAUUGUAAUUGACACUCAACCAAUACAGGAUUCGAGGAAGCACAUCCCCAUUAUUCUAGGCCGACCUUUCUUGGCAACUGCGGAUGCUCACAUUCAAUGCAGGACUGGAAAUAUGCAGUUGUCCUUCGGCAACAUGACUAUGGAGCUGAACAUCUUCAACAUUGCCAAACAACCUCACAGUGCAGAUGAUGGAAUUGUUGAUGUGGAUUUAAUUGAAACAAUAGUUGAUAACACUUUUCUUUCAAACCUUAGUGAUGAUCCUUUACAAACAUGUUUAACUCACUUUGGUUUGGAUUUUGAUAUUGACAGAUCGGUCGAUGAGGUCAACGCCCUACUUGACUCAGCACCAUCCAUGGACACUAAUAAAUGGAAGUCAAGAGUUGAACAACUAGCACCAUCAGAGAAGAAACUCAUCUCAUCAUCAGAAUCACCACCGAAACUCGAGCUCAAACCAUUGCCCAACACAUUGGAAUAUGUAUUUUUGGGAGAAGAAAGCACUCUGCCAGUAAUCAUCUCAUUAUCCCUCAAUGACGAACAAAAAGGUAAGUUGUUGGAUGUUUUGAAAGAGCACAAAGGAGCAUUAGGAUGGACCAUAGCAGACAUAAAAGGUAUAAAUCCAGUAGACUGCAUGCAUUACAUUCACCUUGAUGAAAAUGCUAAAUCUACUAGGGAAAUGCAACGUCGGUUAAAUCCUAAUAUGAAAGAAGUUGUUAGAACUGAAGUCCUUAAGCUAUUAGACGCAGGUAUCAUUUACCCAAUUUCUGAUAGUUCAUGGGUCAGUCCUGUGCAAGUUGUCUCCAAAAAGUCAGGAGUCACAGUAGUUACGAAUGCUGAUAAUGAAUUGAUACCCACUAGAGUGACUACAGGAUGGCGUGUAUGCAUUGAUUAUAGAAAGUUGAAUUCUGUCACACGUAAAGACCAUUUUCCUUUACCAUUUAUUGAUCAAAUGCUUGAUAGAUUAGCAGGACAUGAAUUUUAUUGCUUUCUAGAUGGCUACUCAGGAUAUAAUCAGAUUCCCAUAGUACAAAAAGAUCAAGAGAAAACUACUUUCACUUGCCCUUUUGGCACAUUUGCAUAUAGGAGAAUGCCAUUUGGAUUAUGUAAUGCACCUGCUACAUUUCAACGAUGCAUGUUGAACAUUUUUUCUAAUAUGGUUGAACGAUUCCUUGAAGUCUUUAUGGAGGAUUUUUCUGUCUUUGGUGACUCAUUUGAUCAAUGUUUACAUCAUCUAACACUAGUUCUGCAGAGAUGUAUCGAGAAGAAUUUGGUAUUAAAUUGGGAGAAAUGUCAUUUUAUGGUAAAACAAGGUAUUGUUCUCGGUCACAUCAUUUCGAGCAAAGGUAUUGAGGUUGACAAAGCCAAGGUGGAUCUCAUUUCUAAUCUUCCUUCACCCAAAUCAGUCAGAGAAUUAAGAUCUUUCCUUGGGCAUGCUGGUUUUUAUAGACGUUUCAUUAAAGAUUUUAGCAAAGUUUCUAGACCCUUAUGCAAUCUACUUGCUAAGGAUGUACCUUUUGUCUUUGAUGAUUCAUGUCUUGUUGCGUUUGAAAAAUUAAAGCAUUUGUUGACAUCAUCACCCAUCAUUCAGCCCCCGAACUGGAACUUACCAUUUGAGCUCAUGUGUGAUGCAUCUGAUUAUGCAGUAGGAGCAGUAUUAGGACAAAAAGUUGAUCGAAUUCCCCACGUUAUUUACUAUGCUAGUAUGACAUUGAAUGAUGCACAGUUGAACUAUUCAACUACUGAAAAAGAAAUGCUAGCAGUAGUAUUUGCAUUAGAGAAAUUUCGAUCUUAUUUCAUUGGUUGUAAAAUAAUUGUGUUCACAGAUCAUGCUGCUCUUAAAUAUCUUCUCACAAAGAAAGAUGCAAAAGCUAGACUAAUUCAUUGGGUGUUACUUUUGCAGGAAUUUGACUUGGAAUUCAAAGAUAAGAAAAGGACAGAAAAUGUUGUGGCGGACCACCUCUCUCGUCUCCAUUUUGACACAACUACAGAGCCAUUACCAUUAAAUGAGUCAUUCACUGAUGAACAAUUGAUGAAUGUGGAAGUAUUACCGUGGUAUGCUGACAUCGUGAAUUAUCUUGUUACAGGUCAACUUCCAGAGCAUUGGACCAAGCAAGAUAAGGCUAAAUUCUUUGCAGAAAUAAAGAAUUUCUUUUGGGAUGACCCGUGUUUGUUCAAGUAUUGUGCAGAUCAAAUUGUUAGACAAUGUGUCCCAAAAAAUGAAAUUCAGAAUAUUCUUUCAUUCUGCCAUGAACAAGCUUGUGGAGGCCAUUUCAGUGCUAAGAAAACAGCGACUAAAGUUUUACAAUGUGGUUUCUAUUGGCCAACUAUAUUUCGAGAUGCUUACACUUUCUGUUCUUCAUGUGAUAGGUGUCAACGAAUGGGGAGCAUUACACGAAGGAACAUGAUGCCAUUAAAUCCAAUUUUAGUGGUUGAGAUUUUUGACGUAUGGGGUAUCGACUUCAUGGGACCCUUUCCCCCGUCUUUUGGUCAUCAAUACAUAUUGGUUGCUGUUGACUAUGUAUCAAAAUGGGUAGAAACAAUUCCAUGUAGGACCAAUGAUCACAAGGUGGUGAUAGCAUUUUUGAAAAGCAACAUUAUUUCACGCUUUGGAUUCCCUCGAGCAAUAAUCAGUGAUGGUGGUGCCCACUUUUGUAACAAAGCAUUUAAAGCACUUUUGACAAAGUAUUCAAUCACACACAAAGUGGCGACCCCGUAUCAUCUACAAACCAGUGGCCAAGUUGAGAUAUCCAAUCGAGAAAUAAAGCACAUAUUAGAAAAGACGGUGAGGUCGGACAGAAAAGAUUGGUCAUUAAGACUUGAUGAUGCAUUAUGGGCAUAUAGAACGGCUUUCAAGACCCCGAUUGGGAUGUCACCCUACAGGCUAGUGUAUGGAAAAGCUUGCCACCUACCUGUGGAACUCGAGCAUCGUGCAUAUUGGGCCAUCAAGAAAUUCAAUUUUGACAUGUAGCAAGCCAGCUCAGAAAGAAGAUUACAGCUGGCAGAACUUGAAGAAAUUCGCAAUGACGCGUACGAAAAUGCCAAGAUUUACAAGCAACGAAUGAAAGUCUUCCAUGACAAGCAAAUUAUGAGAAAAUCUUUCACUCCAGGUCAGAAAGUGCUUUUAUUCAAUUCUCGCUUGCACCUAUUCCCAGGUAAGUUACGCUCUCGUUGGUCUGGCCCAUUUAUUGUUCAUACUGUUUUUCCACAUGGGGCAAUUGAAAUUAAAGACCCAAAGAACGGUGUCACGUUUAAAGUUAAUGGUCAAAGAUUAAAGCCAUAUCUAGAAUACCAACCACAUGGAGAAGACACCGAAAUAAAUUUGAGUGGCCCACCAGAUUUGAAUUGAUUUUUCUUUUCGUUGAUUUGAUUUUUCUUUCUUUCUUUAUAUUAUUUUUUUGCUAAUUGAAAUUAUUUUUUCAUAAGUGUGUUUGUUUAACUAGUAAGUUUUCUCUUAUCAUUGUUAAUCAUGAGUCUCAUACUUAGACCGUUCCUCCUGAACAUUCUUAAACCACUUCAACGUGUCAAAACUCAUCUCAAAAGGCAGAUUCAAUUUUGUAAAACACAUCGCAUUUGGGCUCUACAGCCACCAGAGUUAGUAGCCUAUGUUGAGGGUUUAGAAAGCCAACUCAGAGACAUUGAGAGAAGUGUUUACGACAUCCAGUUGGAGCUUGAGGUAAAUUCAAUAAGAGGACGAUUUUAAUUUUCUUUGUGUGUUUUAAUUUGUUUUUCUAUUUGUGUGCUUUAGUUUGUUACCCCGGUGAAGUGGCGGAUAACGGUACUCCGUGACAAUCAAGUCGGUUACUUCAGUUUCCCAUAAUAACUGAUAUUCUGAGGCGAAAGUAUGGACAGAAACGAGAUUCUAGCGAAGCUUCACAAGCGAUUCCCUUCACUUCCUCAGAAUGCCCUCCUUACGAUCUAUAAAGCUCGGUCCGAAUGCAUGCGAUUACUCAUGAGGAAUAACAUACCUGCUGACAUCCGUUGGUUAAUCGAGGCUAAAGUACGAUCGGCAGGUGAGUUACCUCCAAAAUUUAUUGCAUAUAUGCCUGGUUGUGGUAAAGGAAAUUAUGCAAGAAAACGACGAGCUCGAAGAAUUUCUGUUGCUUGUCAUAAGUGUGCCAGAAUGAGUUGCAAUAAAAACCCAUGUUCUUUAGGAAUGAUGUCUAAUAACAGGGAAGAUAAGAUUUAAUUCAUUAGGGAUGGCUUGAAUAAGGAGUCAUUGGAUUAUAUCCUUUUGUCUCUUGAAACGCAUCCCAGUGGAUAUGUGCAAGGAGCGAUUCUCCAAUUAUGGCUAUUAUUCCAGAAAGAGCAUGCACGAUAUAGUCUCGGGAAUCUGACUAUAAACGACCAUGUUUGCCAGUUUAUAAGAAAACUGGAUAGGAAGCCUAUUCUCGAUCCAUAGAGGGCGUUCAAGCCGUUUCUGAACGUAAAACCAGAGGAAGAUGUGAGCCACAGUCGCAACUACUUGUAAAUAUCCUUUCACUUUACUGUUAUUUUAUUUCACUAUUGUUUUAUUGUGUGUAUUAUUGUCCUUAAUAAUUUUAUUACUGUUUGCUUUUUCUUUUUUACUGUUUCCUUUUUUACUCGCGAGCCACGUGCUUUACGCGUUAUUUGACACUGACAUUUUACCUCAUACACAACUGUGACCCACUAUCACCAAGACUCUUAAAUGUGAUUUUCUUUGUCAAGCACUCACAAAUUGUUUUUGCGAAGUAUCACAAUGGCAGCUACUCCCAAUAGACAAUUCAAGAACAUUUGUGUGCUUUCUGGAUUUACCUAUGGCAAACAUAAAGAGUUCGUUGAGGCAGCCAUCGAUCUUGGUCGCAGUAUAGCAGCGAGAAAAUUACACUUGGUGUAUGGAGGAGGUAACCGAGGGUUAUCAAAAAUGGUCUCAGAAGCAGCUUUUAUCAGAGGCAGCCAAGUGUUAGGCAUCAUCCCAAGAGUUCUAAAACUAUUGGGCAGUUCGUCUGACUCAUCAACUGGAGAAGAGUUAGUCGUCUCAAGUAUGCAAGAAAGAAUAACUGAAAUGCUUAAUCAUGCUGAUGCUUUUAUUUUCCUUCCAGGAGAUCUUGCAACACUAGAGGCACUUAUCACACUAGCAUCUUGGGCCCAUCUGCACAUCCACCAGAAACCCAUCGGUUUGUUAAAUGUCAAUAACUUUUAUGAUAGCUUUAUCGCAUUUCUUAACCAUGCAAUAAAAAACUAUUUCAUUCCUUCUAAUGUGAAAAAACUUUUUAUUUGUGCUCACACUGCUAAUGAGCUACUUGAUCUGUUACAAGCUUAUAAACCGGAGCCAGACCCCUAGACCUUUGUAUUGGAGCGUCCAAAUAAUGAUGGUAACAGUAGCAGCAGUAAGAAGUACAAAUUAGAUUUAACUCUCCGCCUGUAAAUAUUUUCUUCUGUGUUGCACCACCCAGGUGAUGUCUUCUGAACUCUACUUCUUUCCUUUAACACAUUGAGGACAAUGUUUCGUUCUGGUUGGGGGGAGGGAAUAGUCGACAAUUGUGGAAUCUUGGUUAAGUUUUUACUAAUUUUUUGUUGUAGAAACUAACUGUUGCUAACGUUUUGUGUUGAAGAUGGCUGAAUAUGGAGUGUAGUGACUCUAGAAACGCAUCUUCAUUGUUUAAAAAAAAUUAAAAAAUUAAAAAAAAAUUUAGACAUUUUUUUUCUCUUUAUUAAGUUUUUAUGUUCAUUUUUCUUCUUCUUUUUAAUUUCUCCUCUAUAAAUAUACAUUUUCCAACUUUUGAGUCGAAGAUGGCUGAAUAUGGAGUGUAGUGCCUCUAGAAACGCAUCUUCUUAGUUAAAAAAAAAUCAUUUUCUUUUUCUAUCAUUUUAAGUGUAACUUUUCUAAUUAGUUUUUAUGCAUCAUUUUCACAUUUCUGCAUGCAUAUUUUCCUUUCAUGUUUAGAAUAUGUUGGGGGGUAGAAUGUUGUUUAAAACAUAAUAAUAAUAAUUUGUGUGAUUUGUUUUAACACUGGAUGACAUGAUUAAUUUUAAAUUUUAGUAUUUGUAUUAUCUUUGGUCUUAAGUGAUGUUACGUUAUGUUUGCUACUUUACAUGUUGAUGUCGGAGACAAAUAUGAGUUGCUUGAAGGAAUGAACAUGUCAUAAAUAAGUGCCAAGUGAGUUGUUGAGCCUAUCAUUUUCUUGGAGAGUAACCCUUUUGCCCAUUCUCUAUACAGCUUAGCAGUUUAUUAUUUUAUACACGAUCUCUAGAUUUCUUUUGAGUUAACCCUUAAAAAAAUGGUAAAAUAAAAAAAAAGAAAAAGAAAAAGAAAAAAAAUGUGUGUUGCUACAUUGGGAGGCCCAUCUAACUAGUAGAUAUGGAUGAUUAUUUAGAGCCCUAAAAGACGAUGGAAAUGCCAUCUUUGAUCCGUUUGAGCCUUUCUAACCAUCCCUUUUAUUAAAUAUCCAUAGUUAACCCUUUUGAGCCUUUAAAAAAAAAAUCUUUUUCUUUGUCAACAUAUCAUCUUGACCCACUUCAAUUUGGAGUAUUACCCGAUGUCUUAUAAGUUCCAUCACCUAUUUAUGUUUGAGAAAAUGUAAAUAAUUAUGUUGUUCAGUGAAGUUAUGCCAAAUAAAAGAAAAAAACAAAAAAAAUAAAAAAAAACAAAAAACAAAAGUUGUUGUUUCAAAAGAAUAAAAAUAACAACAAUAGGUGAAAUCCACCUUGCAACUUCCAAAAAAAAAAAAAAUCCCUGCAAUUUUUUUUCUCAAACAUACAAUUUGUUUUCCUUAUUUCCCUUCUUUGUUAACCAUGUCCCUAGCCUACGUUACGUCCUAAUAAAAGUCCUUCUUGAUUUUAGGGAACUAUAGUCUAAAGUAGAAGCUAGUUAUAUGGGCUAAAAAGAUGUAGUGGUGCAUAUAAAAAAAAUAAAUAAAAAAAUUGGGUUGACUAACAGUUUUUAUUUGACUUGAGAUCGUAUUAUUUUUAAGCUGAAGGCAUAUUUAUUUCAUCUCGGUGAGAGCAUGUGAUAUCAGUUCUUCAUUAUUUUCUCUCAAUUACCAUUCAUUGGAGUGACUAUUUAUAUUUGGUUUAAUUUCUUUGUGAGAUUGUCACUACUUCCAGUGAGAUUUUGGGGUUUGACAUGUCAUUCUUGAAAGUAGCUAUAACAAAGUCUACUGGGCUUAUUCAUGUGGAUGGUUGAUGUGGGUGUGAUGUUGCUUUAGACUGGAGAUAAUGCUUAUACUUUUAUUUGAUUGCUAUCAUUAAUCUGAUGGAAUAAAUAUGAGUGUUUCUAUUAAAAAAAAAAUUAUUUUGAAUUUGAAUUUUGUUUUCGCUUUAUUUGCUAGGGACUAGCAAUAAGCUGGUUGGGGGGUGUGUUGAGUGUUAGAAAAUGCAUAUUUAUAAAGGAGAAAACCGUCAUUUUACAUUUCAAGUCUUACUAACACCUUUACUUUCAUGAAUUUAACCUUCUUUUGAUUUAAUUCCGUUUGUUUUAUUUUAAUUAAGUAUUUUAUGUAUUUUAGGGGCAUUAUAAUCAUUUCACAAUAAAGGAGAGAUCAGACGGCAAAACGGAUAUCACUUUUGAACUUAGGACGGUCGAAAACCUUAGGAGCAGCAUAAAAGGAAAAAUGACAUUAUUCACAUGUACGGUACUAUUCACGGAUACGGUACUGUCUACGUUACUAUUCAUGACACUGUUCACAUAGACGGAUCGAUGACGUGGCAUUGACUGAUGACGUGGCAUUGACUGAUGAGGUGUCACGAUCCUGUUGGACUAAAAUUCUUAUAUACUGUUGAUGGUGACGUGGCAGCAUAUUAGUGGACGAAAAAUCUCGCGUAUGGUGCAUGCAUCACACAGGAUUAUUUUCAACCAAACCGCGUUACUGUUCAUCCGGGUCAAACCGUGGACUGUUGACUGAUGACGUGGCCCAAUCCUGAGCGUCCAAACUGUUUUUAAUCCGAUGGCCAUGAUUUACUCCAUGUAUCUAUAAAAAGGGGGUCUCUCCCCCCUAAUUUGAUAUCUCUGAAUCCAUUUUUGGGAUCUAUUUUCUGUAAUUCCUUCUCCAUCUUGUAUUUUCUUCGUAUUUUAAUAAAUUCCCAUUUUGCCCCUAGUUCAAUUAUGAGUGGCUAGUUUUCUUUCAAGCUUGGGUUGAAGGUGAAGUCUCAACAUGUGUCAUGGGCUUAAUUUGGUAAAUUUAUUUUCUCUUCCCCUCUAGUUUUUGUGGAUGUUUUGACUUCUCGUCGACAAAUAAUACUAAUCUUGUCUAGUACCGCCUUGGUUUUACUGGCCCUCUAGUACAAGGUUAUUAUUAUUUGGCACGAUAAGCCCUUAGCACCAUAUUGAUUAGAGCGUGGUUCAUGAGGUGUGGAUUCCCCCCUUAUGAUUUAAUUGGCAUUAAUACGGAUUAUUUAGCCCAUGAUGCAUGUUGAUACGGAUCCAGAUACCCAAGUACGACAUUUUAAUAGAAUUCUCUUCAAUUUAUUCUCGCCAUUUCAAUUCUAAUUUUAGAAUUUAUUCUCGCCAUUUUAAUUUAAGUUUUAGUAUAUUCCAAAUCUUUUCCACCACAAAUCCAAUCACCCAUUUACAAAAUUAAUUCUACACAAUUAAAAUCCACCUCCUCGUGGGAUCGACACUCGUCACCAUUGAUCUAUACUACAAUAGAUUCGUGCGCUUGCGAGUACAUUAAAAUUUGCACAACACAUAUUCCAUUUUAAGCACACAAGGAGGGAAAAAGUUUGCUUUCGCUUUCUUUGUAGUUGUUUGUGUGAAUUCUUUUCCUAACAUUAUAAAGGGUUGAAUGCUUUAUUGACUUAUUUUCUUAGGGUACAGGACGGAUCAUGUAUUUAUAUCAAGAAUAGAGGAAUUAUAUAUGGAAGAAAUAUUUUUCUUGAAUUAUUGGGAUUCAUUAUAAACUUAGACAUUAGCUAGCUGUUGGCUAAGUUACGAAGAAAAUCUAGACUUGAAUGAUAGUUAGCUAUCUUUUUUUUUUUCGCGAGUUUGCAUGUCACAAGAUUGUGUGAGAUGAUUCCAUUGCAGGCCUUUAGUAGAGUAAUACAAAUUGCCAUAUUUGUGUCCAAUGGUUUGUUACUUAGGACCAGAUGUGACUAUUUGAAAUCCAUGAAUUCCACAUGUGGUGGGCAAUGUAUAUCAACAUAGUUGUCUUUUAUAAGUAGUUUAAUAGUAUUUUAUACUUUAAUUAAUUACAUACUUGUGUGUAUUAUUUAGUUAAUAAUGCUUAGGACCAGAUGUUUCAAUUUUACAAAAUUCAAAUUUUAACUAGAAUAAAAAAAAUUAGGGCUUGACUCACUUAAAUGUAAUGUAACAUUUAAAUAAACUCAUGAGUCAACCUAUAACAGCUCAAUUGUUUCACUUAUUGUAAUUUUUAUUAUUUUGCGUGACAAUUCAAGCGUUGUUGUAUGUAACAUAUGAUGUGACGUAGCAUGACCCUCAAAAAUUAUAUAUUACAUAUUACAUCACUGUACAAUUUUGACAAUUUUGAUUCCAAGUCCAAAUGAAAGUAAUAUUUAAUUUUUUUAGCUGAAAUAUAAAUGAGUUUUAAUUUUUCUAAAGUAUGAAUACAAAUAUUUGAGCAAUAUUUUUUUAAAUAUCUGAAUAUAAAUGGCUUCUUUUUAUUUUUAUAAAUAUAAAAAUAUUAAACAUGAUUACUUGAUAUGUAUAUCCUUUUAAAUAAAAAAAUUAAAUUUUAUAGUUUAGGAAAUAAGUAUAUUUUAUAGAGAUAGUUUUGGAAUAUAUAACAUUUACUUCUCAUUUAGACCUUUUCUCUAUUUUGGUAAAACUUACAAAAGUUUAUUUAUUAUAUUUAAAUGUAAAUAUUUGAAAAUCAUAGAUAAAUUAGAAACAAAAAUGCAAAUUUUUUUAAAAAUAUGAAAUUAAUAGAAUUUCAGACUUCAAACAUUUAAUAAACGAGCCUUUAGAUUUUAUAAAAUUCGGACAUGCGGACUAGAUACACUUUUGUAUGUAUCAUUUACUGUCACACCUUUAAUUUUAUUUUGCGAUAUUAUAGAGAGAGCCCAAUAUUUAUUUUCAAAUGAAACGAUCAACACAAUUUCACAAAUUGAACGAAACUUACUGUGAGAAGAUGUUAUUAGAUCCAGAGGCUAUUGCAUUCUUGUUUCAAGUCAAGCUCUUGAUCUUGAACAAACUCCAAAUCAGGCAUUCUGUCAUUUCAUGAGUUCAUUUUCCGUUUUUCCAAAAAAAAAUGAUGAGAAAAAAAAAUCAUAAAGUAUUUUUUUCAAAGUGACUCCAAACAUAAAUUUUCCAUUAUUUUCGUUUUUGCGAACAAGUUUUGUAUGUUACAAUUUUUUAUUAUACCUUUAUUAUUUUCUCAACAAGCUACCAGUUGUUUCUUCCAUAAUGAAAUGGCAAUAUAAAUUGGUAACGGAAACACUUUUCUAGAUGCACAAAAUUUUUUAGACAAAUCUAAAAUUCUGUGUGACUAUUUCUAAACACAAAAGGACCUGUGUAACAAUUUUUGAAUUCUGAUGUCAAUGUCUUUUUCUUUUUUCUUUUUUUUUUGAAGAAAAGGAAAAAUAUUUUUUUAGAAAAAAAUAUGUUGAUUUAAUCAGAGUCAUCUUGGUUUCAAUAAAUAAUUAAUCUUCUAGUAUAGUAGUCUUGCUGUCAGUGCAAUGUACUGAUUAUUCAAUUCACUAUGUACAAAUUACAAGUCAUCUUAACAUUAUGAACCAAAAAAAAAAAAAAAAAGCACAUCUUGUAAAGCACACUUGUAGAAAAUCAUCAAAAAUGGUUCCAUGAUCCAGAUUUACACAAAAUCAAGCUAAAAUAGACAUGGCCAAACUUCCACAAGAUAUUUUUACUGAUACACUAUCGCGGCUACCUAUUGAGGUCCCUUUUUAUGGUUUAAGUGUGUAUCCAAGACAUGGUUUUCUUUAAUCUCUAAUUCUCAAUUUGCCAAAUUCCAACUCUAACAAGCAAUUUUAAAAGUCCGGUACCAGUGGUAAAAUUUGUAGAGUCUUACUCACGACUUCUCCACUUCAAUCCAUCGAUUAUAGAGCAUUUGGAUUUGGUGAUCUGAGAAACGGUAAUGUAACACUGCAACUUGGUUAUCCUGGGAAAAAAAUUCCUGAAGAUGAUGCUACUAUUAUAGGAUCCUGUAAUGGCAUGGUGUGCAUAUAUUUUGAUUCCACCAACAUGGUUUUGUGGAACCUGAGUACUCGAGUUUCCAGGGAAUUCUCAAUGCCUGAUCCUUUUCCUGAACAAGAUGAUUUUUCAAAUGGGUUUGGUUAUGAUUAUAAACUGAUUAGAUGUUUUAUUUCAACUAUUGGAAAUGGAAACGUUUCCAGGGAAACUAAACUUCUUGUUUUUUUCCCCUGAAAAACGGUUCCUGGAAAGAAAUUUAGUACUUUCUUUGGAGUGCUGAUAUCUUCAGAAUAGGAGUUCUGUCAAAUAACCUACUGCAUUGGCUUGAAAUGCAAAAAGGAGCUUCUGAGAAGAAGUAUGUAAUUGUGUCAUUCGAUCUGAUAGAAGAAAGAUUCGAAGAGAUUUUGUCUUUGCAAGAUCAUACUGACCAAAAUACGUAUGUUGUAAACUAGAGAAAUUGGAGAGACCGCCUUAUCAUUUUCAACGAUCAAAAGGACCGUAGUUUCGGGGCCUGGGAAUUGAAAGAAUCACAUGGACUAGAGUGUUCAGCAUCUCAAGUAAGAUAUUUCCUAAAUAUGAAUAUUAUCCAACUCUAGUAGGCUUUACUAAAGAGCAUAAAGUUUUGGUGGAGAUUGAUGGAGGGAAGUUAGUUUUGUAGAACAAAAAAGGAAAAGACAUUCAGAAGUUUUGAGAUAUAUGAUGAGUGGCAUUGAUUUGAAGGUAUCAUGUGCGAGGAAAGUUUAGUUUCUCCAAUUGUUGAUGAAGCAAGCAAGUUUUAGAAACAAUGCUCUAAGGAAAAGGUAAUAAUGACAUUAUCAGUUUUGGCCUUUGACUUUUUUUUUUUUUUUUUUUCUGAACACUUAUCACUUGCUGCAUCUGAAAUGUGAUUCAUAAUGGCAGUGGCAUCUUUACAACUCUUUAAAAAUAAAAAGCGAAAAAAUAGAAAAGAAAAUUGCGAUAUUCAUAUUCUACCAUGUCGUAUAUUCAUUUGCUUUUUCUGAUCAAGAUGCAUGAGCCUCAAGUGGGUGCAUUUAAGGUUGGGUUUUAAAGUUUAUUGAAGCACUCAACAACUCAUAAAUGCAAUUAUUGCCACAAUAAUGGAAGUAUCUUUCAAAAUUUUAUUUUGAUCAAAAGUCAUCUGGAUUUAAUCUAUAAAUAAAAUCUGCAUGUGCAUAUAGUCUCAGUGUCUCUAAUGGCUGAGAUUUAAAAACUAUGUCCAUCUCUGCUUAGGUGUCGAUGCAUUGACCAAUUAAAUCAACCAUAAAUAGAUUAUUAAUAAGGUGUGGAUCACCCCUUAUGAACUCAACAUCUCUCCCAUGUUUUGCCAAUAUGGGAUUCGCCUAGGGUGUUAUAUACACCCCCUUAGGGAGUCAGCGUCUUUGCUGAGAUUUUCCCCACUAUCGCUCAAGAGGACACGCAGAAUCGCUCUGAUACCAUAAUGUCAUGACCUCGCUCAUACCUGACAAAAUAUUGUCUGCUUUAAACCUUAUUAAUGCCCGUGUGUGUUUGUUUAUGGGGCGCCUCAAAGCUAUAAAUUUCUUAUCAUUUCUUAUCUUUUUGAAGCUAUCAAAAGAUACACUAUAGUUAGCAAUAAGAAUAGUGCUGGCUAAGUGUUGGCAGGAGAAAGAAUCUAGAGAUAAUUUUUAAUAAAGAUGGUUAAUUUAGAAAUUUUAUAUGCGUUUAGUGAAUGAAUAAUGCUGCAUGUAUUUAAAAUAGCACAAAAUUUAAUACAAAAGCAUAAAAAAUUAAAAAAAUUCUUGUGUUGUGGUGAAUUCUUUUCUUGUAAUGAUUUUUUUUUUUCAGUGAUGGCGUACUAUUUUUUAUACUAUCUUUUUUUUAUAUAUAUUGGUAUUGUCAGCCAACCGAUGAAUAAAUUGUAAAAUAUUAAUGUGAAAAAUCUCUGCACCUCUUCGAAUUUUAUUUUUUAAAAGAUAAGGAGAUAAAUGAUUUCAAAUUAAUCUUUUAACUCUCUAACUUUUGUCAAAUUUAAAUUUGAAUAGCCAACAAAAUAAAAUUAAUUGAAAACUCUACCUCCGUACUCCGAGUGCGAUUAUUUUGACUCGAAUUAAUGCCUUAAAAAUUUGAAAAACAGACCAGCACAUUGAAUAUAUAAAAUGUGCCUGUAUAUACAUCACACCCUGCCAAUCACGGUGUUGUAAUAAUUGAAUCAUUGAUCAGUAAAUAUAUCUUAUUGUCCUUUUCUCAUGCGCAUGCAUCAUUACGAAGUCAUGCUAACAGUGUUGUUAGAUUGUAACUUGUUAGAUUAUAACAAAUCAUAUUUGCAAAUAUUCACAUGAGGAGUCAAACAUGCUUGCAUAAAGUUAGUCCACAUUUGCGAGCAAGCGUGAUUAUAUAUAAUGUGCUUCUCUAUUAUAGUGUAUGAUCAAUCAGGCAAGCUUAAUUUAAUUGAUCAUCAGUAUCUAUGGAUGCGAAUCAAGAUCUAGGAGCAAAAGAGUUGUUUCAAGGCCAAGCUCAACUGUAUAAGCUCAUGUUUAAUCAUUUAAGCUCGAUGUCACUCAAGUGCGCGAUUGAGCUAGGCAUAGCGGAUAUAAUUCACAGCCACGGACGGGCCAUCACUCUUUCUGAGUUGGUCUCGGCACUUGAUAUUCAGCCUACAAAAACGACUGGUUUAUUCAGGCUCAUGCGCUUGUUAGUUCACUCGGGCUGCUUUAACAAAACCAAAGUCAAUGGACAAGAAGAAGCAUACGGGCUCACAGCUGCUUCUACUCUGCUCAUCAAAGACAAGCCCUACUGUUUUUCACCAACUGUUUCAGUAUUUCUUGACCCAUGUUUUGUCGCUGCAUUUCAGUCUUUAGGUAGUUGGUUCAAAGGGACUGAGCUCACGUUGUGGGAAACUGUUCAUGGAAUCAAGUUCUGGGAAUUUAUGAAUCAAAACCCUGGAAUAAACCAGCGGUUCAAUGAAGCAAUGGCCAGUGACACUGAAAUACUGACAAGCUUUGUUGUCAAAGCCGAGUGCAAGCAAAUCUUUGAAGGGUUGGGCUCAUUGGUUGACGUAGGAGGUGGCAACGGAUCGCUUUCCAGAAUCAUCUCUGAAGCAUUCCCUGGCAUCAAAUGCACUGUACUCGACCUCCCGCAUGUUGUUGCUAACCUGCCUGAGGCCGACAACUUGAAAUACAUAGCAGGUGACAUGUUUCAGUUUAUCCCUCCGGCAGAUGCCUUUCUCUUCAAGGUAAGAUCCAAUUUUAAAAAUUUAAAACAACUUCUUAACCGUUUUCGUAAAUACCAGAUGAUUUAUUUCAAUUGUUCUGUGUGCAGCACACAUAUCCGGACGUUAGAAUCUUACAAAAUCAGGAUUUGAAUGAUCCAAAUCAGAUUUAAAGUAAAAGCAAAAUGCUACACAACUCUAAAUUUAAUUUAACAUUUGGAUUUUACAGAAUCUAGAAGUUUAGGCUUUAGCAUGAUCAUUUACGUAGUCAUUCUCUAGUGCGGUUACCCUCAUUUUUUCGAGUGUAGAUUCGAAGUUUACCAUAUUGGUAAAGGCUUGUAUAACAUUGAAACUUAUUUUUUCAUAACUUAUAUGUAUAUGUAUUUAUAUGUGCGUGUGUGUGUUUAUAGGCGGAGUAGUAAAGCGUUUUAUCUACAACACUAUAAAAUUAUUUUACAAUAUUUAAAACAACCAAUCUGCAUUCUAAAAAGUAUGAUUUGUGUAUGUGCGCGCGCAUAGAUAGAUAGAUAGACACACGCACGAACUGGGAUUUUAUUAAAAAGAAAAAGUAUAUUUUAACUAAAAUGUCAGAUCAAACAACAGAACUGCACUAUAAGUAGUGGAUAUUAAUUAAAUGAGUGAUUGGCAUGGUUGCAGUUGAUUUUUCAUGGAUUAGGUGAUGAGGAUGGGUUGAAGAUACUGAAGAAACGCAGAGAAGCAAUUGCAAGCAAUGGUAAGAGAGGAAAGGUCAUAAUAAUAGAUAUUGUUAUCAAUGCAGAGGAAGAGGAACCCGAAUUAACCGAAACAAAGUUCUUGUUUGACAUUUUGAUGAGCGUUAACGCUAAUGGAAAAGAGAGAACUGAAAGUGAAUGGGCAAAGCUAUUCUCCGACGCUGGUUUCAGUCACUACAAAAUAACACCUAUAUUUGGCAUGAGAUCCCUCAUUGAAGUCUAUCCAUAAAGAAUUGAGUAACCGUAUUCCCGCAAGUCUCUUGUACUGCUUGAUGGAAUAGCAAAGUUUCGUUCAAGAUGUAUGCGUAGUAGUUGAAAUGUCUCGUAAUGACUAGAAAAUGAGGUGACACACGGGUUUGAAUAUAGGAUGAGUCACUCAAUUAAAAUGCUAUAGUCUUUUGGUAUGGAAACUUAAAUAUCCUAGACCACCCUUUAAUAUAUUAAGAAUAAAGGAUUAGUGUGUACCGUGUUAUAUUGCAUUUUUAUAUUGUUUCCAGCAUCUGCUCUUAUGUUUUAUCUUUACUAAUUAAAUUACGAUCUUUCUUAAGUUAUUGUGUUCCCAAAACAAGUAACUGCAAAAUAAUUUAUAUUGUUACUUUGGAUAUCUUCAAUUAGGUUGUACAUUAAUGAUAAAUGAUUCAAAAUUUAUAUUUGCAAUGUAAGUAAAAAAUAAUAAUAAUUUGUAAAAAAAUUAAAAAAGCAAAAAUAACCUAUUCAAAUUAAUGAGUAAUAUUACUAUUAAAAAUUAAUAUUUCAAAAGUAUAACAUCCCCACGAUUCUUCUAAGCCAAUCAGAAACAUCAUUGGCUAAGAUUGUUUGAUGUAAGCCAAAAUUGAUAUUUAAUUAUUUUAUUUAGUAUUUUAAUUUUUUCAAGCAGAAUUUAUAAUUGGACUUGUAUUUGGGGUGCAUGGAUUCUGUUUUCCGGUUUACUAUUAGAAAGAUUAUGUCACGGGCUUAAUAAUUUAUCAUUAAAAUCCUUAUUUUAUGCGAGGGUUUUAUCUAUCUUGAUCACAUUUCCACUAUGUUAUUACAAAAAUCUUCAAUUAACAUGCAGUAUAAUAUCCAAGUCAACUCAAUCAAGUGAAGCUAAUUAAAACUGAGGAUCAAAUAGCACAAUCAACCUUACAUAACAAGCAAGAAUAAUGGAAGCCAUGAAUUAAUCACUAGCCGUUAGACCUCUAUUCGUUUCUUUUAAUUUAACUAGGUGGAAGCCAAGAAUCUUGGGCAAAACACUAUGCCCCAUAUUGUCUAUGCAUCCAACGAUUCGUCAAUGAAACUUUUUUUUUUAUGGUAUCACAGCCAAUCUUGAGAGUCACAGACAUGCAUGGUUAUUAUGUUUCAAUGAAAAAGAGUUUGCCACUAGUGAACCUCUUAAGAAAGUUGGCUUGCUUGAAUGUAGAUCAGUAUACAAAAGAAAUUCGAAGCUAUUUGUGAUUGUUUGGCUGCCGUCAAGAAACCAGUGGAAGAUGUCGAUAAACAGUGGCAAUUGGCACGUGGACUUGGACCAGACUUGAGACCUGAAGGUAGCGAUGCUGGGAAAACCUCCAUACGGUCAAUUUGGUCCUUUUAAGGUUCAAAAAGUUGAAUUAAUUUUCUUGUAAUGCAAGCUAGUAUCUAAGAUGGUCAAUGGAUCUAGAGAUGGUGGAAAGAAAAAAACACUUAAAGAAAGAUGUAAUUGAUUGAUUAUGUUAACUGCUAGCUCAUUUGUAAAUUUGAAAGAUAACGAAGACUCUAUUGUAAUUCACCCCAUUAAGUGCAGUGUGAUUAUACAAAGAGUAGUAUUAGGCAUCUUGAAAUUUUACCUCAAAUGAUAUGAUAUUCAUAACGAUGGCAUAGUUUAAUUAACUCACGUAAUAUUUGUGAAUAACAUGUUACAUACCAUGCAUAUCACAUAAUAUUUCAGUGUGAAUAUUAUUUUCUCUUUCAUGAUAAAUUGUAUUGUGGGCAUUUAAAUAUACAAUAUCGUAAAAUUUAACUAAAGAGUUGGUGUAACCAAAUAUUUUGAUAAGGAUAUCUAAUGAAAUUUCAAAUAAAUUUCAUUUUGAUCUUAAAUUCCAAGCGACCUGCAGAAUAUAUACACUACGAUUUAUUCAGAGCAAUCCGAAAACGAAAUAGUAUGAGCUUCAGUUUGAUUAAAUAUUUUUCCCAAUACAUUCAGAUUUCAGAAAGUUUCAAAAGAAAGCUGAAAAAAUAUAUCAAUAAUUGAAAUGAAAAAAGUUAGAAGGAGGUAUCUAAAAGUCAAUUUCAACGCCAAUGAUGUGUAAUUCCACAUGAGUAAACUAAUUAAUUGCCAUGAGAAAACGAAACGAAAAGAAAAGAAAGGUGCGUAAAAUUUAAUUUGACAAUAACAGCUACGUUCUCCAACCGCCCCCCCCCCCCCCGCCCCCCGCCCCCCCCAACACCAAAAAAAGGCAUAAAUUUCAUUUGACAAUGAUGUCCUGAUAUCCAUGACCUCAACUUGGGAAAGGAAAAAAAAAAAUUCAUCAUAAAGAAAUUUCAUUUGACAUAUUAUCAUUUAUCUUGCUUCGCUUGGUAUCAUUUGUGCAUUUUAUUGUCUUUGAAGCAUAUGAUUUUUUUUAGUUUGGUACUAUGUUGGUGUUAUUUUAAUUUAUAUAUUAAGAAACGUGAUUGUUAUAUGGAAGAAAUAUUUUGCUGAAAUAAUGGGAUUCAUUCUAAACCUAGACAUUGACUAGCUAGCCGUACACUACAAGAAAAUGAGACAUUUCCAAGAAAUAAAAGAUACACUGUCGGAAAUAGACUUAUUUUGUUGUUUAAUGACCCCUAUUAUUUUAUAUAAUAACAUUAUUUUAUUAUUUUAUUAUUUUUAUUGUUGAAAUAUCUAUAUUAGGGAAGUAAUGUAACAUAAUAAUAAUAUACGAAAUAUACUAAAUGUAAUUUCAUUAAUUUCAAGAAUUUAUAAAAUCACAUUCAUCAUUCAAAAAUGCUACAAAAAUAUCAAUUUUAUAAUAUCUUUUACAGAAAAAAAUACCAAAUUAUAAACAAAAUGAUAUCACCAUAUCUUAGAUAUGUUCAAUCAUCCUCUAAAACAACUUGAGUUGCUGAAUCAUUUGCCUCAACUUCAUCAUCCUCAUACCCAUCAUCAUCUUCUCUCGUCAAAACAAUGUCCUAGGUGAAAGAAGGAAUUUUAAUCAUUAUUAUUACCAAAACAAGAACUUGUAUAAAACAUAAUCAAGAAGCUGAGACUAAUGAGAAAAAUAUUGUAAUAAAAACAAGUUUAUAUAGAUGCAUAGUCUCCAUUUCAAAAAAUCUAAUAAUUAUUUCAUCAUUCACCUAUAUUAGAAGCUUGUCCAUAAUUACUUAAGUUCAUCAACUAAUAGAGCAAUGACAAGUCACCAAUCAUUUUUUGUGAGAACUCAAAGCAUAGAAAAAUUCAUUCACUUAAUCUAUUAAUAAAAUGAAAUAAACAAUCUAUACCUUACGACAUGAUUCUUGUACAGACUUUCCAAGAACAAGUUUUAUCAUUCUUUUCAACUUCUGGAUUCCUUUCUCUAAGUCUUUUACUUUUACUUCUAAAUUACUACAUUGAUGCUUGUUACGUCCUUGACUUGGAGAACCAUACACAUCCUUGCCUUUGAUGCCUGCUCCCUGACCAACAACACGACCAUGUGCUGCUUCUCUUGUCACUUCUCGAUAUAUUUUCCAUUCAUCCACUGGCAAGCCUUGAUCUACAACAGUGGAUCUCAUUGAUUCCAUUGUUUCCUAUAAUAAAUAAAUACAUUUGUGUGAGUGCAUAUAGUAAUGAAAUCAUGCAAAUAAAUCAGGAAUAUUAUGAAAAUUUAAUAUCAAAUACACACAUGCAUUUCCUUUGCCUUGUUACUUGCCAAUGUCCCCUUACAUGAAACAUCUUGAAUAAAUUAAGUGGCUUAAGUUCAGUACCUAUUUGUUACUGCAAUAAAGAAUUGAAAUUGAAUAUGAUCAUAAUAAAUAAACGCACUUCUUUUAUGAGCAAAGUCAAAUAUUUAUCUUCCCAUUUUCUUUUCUAUGCUUGGCCAUUGGGACGAACUUGUAGUAUGAAUAAGUUUGGACUUGGUUCAAUUCCUCUUGCUUGUUGUGCUUGUUUUCUAUAUAUAAGUUAAAAAAAAGCAUAAAAUCAACUUUGUUAUUCUAAAUCUAUUGUUGAGUACUAGAGAAUGCAUAUUUAUAGAGGGUAAAAUUGUCAUUUUAUUCUCGAAGUCUCACUAACAUUUUCACUUUUACGUGUUUAAAUUCUCUAAGCUUUUAUAAUCUGUGUUUUAUUAUAAUUUAAGUAUUUUAUGUAUUUCAGGGAUAUUUUAAUCAUUUCAUAACUAACGAGAAGUCAGACAGCAAAACGGAUGGCAUUUUUGAACUCAGAAUGGUUGAAAAUUUUAGGAGGAGUAUAAAUGAGUAUUCGACAUAUAUAUGGUACCGUUCAAAUAUAAGGUAAUAUUCACAAGUACAGCAUUGUUUCACAUAUACGAUAUGAUAAUGUGGCAUUGCAAUGAUGUAGCAGGAUGCUACUGGACCAAAAUACUGAUGUAGCAUUGACUGAUGAUGUGGUGUUGACUAAUGUGGUGUUGACUAAUGUGGUGUUGACUAAUGAUGUGUACCAACUAAUCAAAGCUUGCCAUGUGGCGCAAUCGUGAGCGUCCGAAUUGUUUUCAUCUGAUGGCCACGAUUUACCCAUUGUAUAUAUAAUAGAGGGCUCCUCAGCCUAAUUUAACACCCUUGAAUUCAUUUUCGAGCUCCAUUUUCUAUAAUUCUCUCAUCAUCUUGUAUUUUCUACAUAUUUUAAUAAAAUUAUCAGUUUACCCCUUAUUCAAUAAUAAGUGGCUAAUUUUGUUUCAAACUUGGGUUAAAGGUAAAAUCUCAACAUGAUCCAUGGGCUUAGGUAAAUUUAAUUUAUUUUUCUUUUUUAUUUAUGUUGUUGUUUUGAUUCAUUGCCAUAAUAUAAGAAACUUUGCAUCUAAUAACUUUUCCAACCUUUUAUGAUGUAGAUUUUUCUGAAAGUUGAAUUGCAAUUCAAUGUUUGCUUAUCCAAUUAUUUAUUGGACAAAAAGGAAUUUAAAAAUAAAACUUUAGUCAUUUUAAAAGAAUCGAACAUGCUACCAACUCUCUUGUUAGAAGUUGUAAUUUAAUUUAUAGAUUCUAGGCUUCCAUGAACUUGUGAAGUAUUAAGUUAUUUCUACAGUAAAACACCCCUUGGUAAAUUGCAAGGGUUGUUUUCACUAUAGAACGACAAUAAGACAGCCUUUGUAGAUUUUUAGGGGCUUUUUGCUGUGUUCUAAAAUCAAAACAGCUCUUAGCAAUUCUUUGGACUAUUUUGUUUUGAAAACAUUUUGAAGAUUGUUGAGGAAAAAGGGAAAUAACAGCAUUAUUUUAAUAAACUGAUGUAAAUGCUAUUAUUAUUACUAAUUUGCAGGCUAUUUGCUAUGACUUCGACAAUGGUGUCUAUCAUAAAUAAAAUUACUUUCUUUUAUAAUUCUUCUAAAGGUAUCAAUUGAGAAUUUAGUGCAAACUGUAGCUAUUUUGCAAUAGAUUUGUUGUCAAAAUAGCUGCUGAAAGUUUACAGGAGCUUUUUUUUUUUCUACAGUAAAACACCCCUUGGUAAAUUGCAAGGGUUGUUUUCACUAUAGAACGACAAUAAGACAGCCUUUGUAGAUUUUUAGGGGCUUUUUGCUGUGUUCUAAAAUCAAAAUAGCUCUUAGCAAUUCUUUGGACUAUUUUGUUUUGAAAACAUUUUGAAGAUUGUUGAGGAAAAAGGGAAAUAACAGCAUUAUUGUUUUAGGAGGCUUGAUGAUGAGUUUGAUAAAUUUUGCAAGUGUUACCAGACUAAAGUUAAAAAGUUUAUGUUGAGGCUAAAAGUUUAGGUGAGUAAAUGCACAUUUUGGUCCCUCUCGGGAUAAAAACUAAGAAAUUGGAAGGAGUUAUGCAGGAUUCUGUACAACAAGCCUGAAGAACAAAAGCAUGAAAGCGGGAUGAUUUUGAAAAUUCUUGAAUAGUAUAUAUCUCUACUUGCUUUUAUACUAUAUCUGUGGCAUUAUUUUUGAAGUUUGACAAUAUUAAUCUUGCAAUUAAUACUUUAAUGCAAAGAAGGAAUACACUCAGGAUGAACUUAAUGAGGUUCUUUUGGAGUGGGCUAACCAUUUUUUUCCACAUCCUGGUCGCAUUUGCAAAUUGGUUAGUAUAAGUAUGAAACUAUAGAUGCACCUUGUUAUUAGUUGUUACAAUUUGUUGAAAUUAAAGUUGAAGUGUUAAACUGUAAUGGUUGUUGUUAAGGAUUGUAGUAUAGAUGAUAUGCAUUUGAUAAUAUUAGGUAUUUUGAUUGAUUUUGGUGUAGAUUGGGUUGAUGGGUAUAGGUCAGAGUGUUGCUGUGUAUAUUGCUAGAGUUAGAGCAUUGUCGCAAGAUGGUGGGUUGUUACGUAUGAUUUGGGGUAUUAGUUGGAGUGUUACUGGGUAUGUGGCUGGAAUUAUGAUCAAGAUGCAUGAGCCUUAAGUGGGUGAAUUUGAGGCAGGAUUUUAAUGUUCACUGAAGCACUCAACUACUUACAACAACUCCUAAAUGCAUAUGAAGUAAUUACUGCCACAAUAAUGGAGGUAUCGUUCAAAUUUUUAUUUAGAGACAGUCAUCUGGGUUUCAACUAUAAAUAAAAUCUGCAUUUGCAUAUAGUCUCAGUGUCUCUAAUGGCUGAUGUUUAAAAACAAUGUCCAGCUCAGCUUAGGUGUUGAUGCAUUGACCAAUUAAAUCAACGAUAAAUAAAUUACUAGCAAGAUUAACAUUAUGAUAUUCUUGAAAACAAUCGUUUGAUGAUUAUAAAUCCAUUAGAGGUUUCAUUUCGACUGAUAGAGAUGUUUCCAAGGAAACAUAUUUAGGUUUUUUUUUUCCGUGAAAAUAAGUCCUGAAAAAGAACUUAGUACCUUCACUUUAGAAUUGACAUUUGUGGAUCAGGAAUUGGCUUGGAACACAAGAGAGGGGUUUAGAUAAUUAGCACUCACAAAUAAUACAACUCGUAUUAUUGAAAAAAAAAAACUUGUAUUCUGAUUUUGAUUGUUUACAAAGUGUGAAUUUACAAAAGUUAUGUACAUAAUUAAAUAACUAGCUAUCAGAGAUUUAAUUACAUAACUACAUAAAUACAGCUGCAGUACAUAAUAUGCUUUCCUAAACUACAAAAAAGGUAAUAAAAUACUUUCUUUUUUGAGAUACACGAUAUUAUAAAUUCUUGAUAGGUAAAUUCAAUGAUAACCUUGACUUGUGCAAGCUAUGUUGUGUGUUUUAACUGUUGGCAAAUUUUCUUUUGUUGACCAUUUACAGCUUGCUUAUUACUUCCCCUCAAGUUGGCAAGUGAUAUACGAUCUGGAUGCUAAGGUUUUGUCAAAAAUUAGGAAACAUGACUUUCGAGAGAGCUUUGGUGAAUAUAUAGAUAAUUUCUAUGUAUGGCAAUGGGGAGGGGAGGGGAGGGGACCGACAUCCCCGCACCCAUCCCCGAUGUUAUUUAUAUAUCCCCGUCCCCAUCAGAAUUGCUUGAGGGGAUCCCCGUCCCCUCCCCGAAUAAUAAGAGGGGAUUCCUGAGGGGAGGGGACGGGGAUCACCAAGGAGUCCCCAAUCUCCGAAUAACUAAUACAUUUUUAUUUUUAAACUUGAUUUAAUCAUAUUAAAAUAAAAAUUUAAACAAAAAUAAGGUUUGACAAUAUAUCUUAGAUUAACAUGGUCGGGCAAUGAAUAACGUCGGAAGCGAAUUUAGAAGAUUAAAUCCACCCACAUUCGAAGGCAGUAUAGAUCCUAUCAUAGCAAACCAAUGGUUGCGAACCAUGGAAAGAAUGAUAGAAGUAUGCAAAGUACCAGAAUAAAAAAAAAAAAGUCUCAUGUGUAUCCUUUAUGCUACGAGGAGCGGCAGAAUACUGGUGGGACUCAGUUAAACGAAUUUAAAAUGAAGCAAUAAUGCAAUGGGUGGAAUUUAAAGAACACUUCUAUAACAAAUACUUUUCAGAGAAUGUUCGCUCAGCCAAAAGAAGAGAGUUUGUUUAUUUAUAAUAAGGAAGUAUGUCUGUGCUAGAGUACAUCCGAAAAUUUGAUGAGCUCUCUCGAUAUGCUCCACAUAUGGUUGCAACGGAAGACUUGAAAAAUGACCACUUUAUGCAAGGAUUGCAUAAAAAUCUCACAAAAGACUUAAAGGUAGCUAGAGUUCAUGAUGCUUCCUUCAACGAUCUGAUCGAUCGAGCCUUGGUAAUUGAACAAGCAGAUGAAGAAAAGAAGGAAGAAAAACGAAGAAACAAAAGAAGUAUGGACCAGGGGAACUUUAUAAAACAACACUCAAAUAAUAAUAAGAGAAAGGGAACCCAAUGGUCCAAGAUUAGAGUAAAAGCAAACGCCAAAGAAUCAUCAAAAGGAAGUCCCACAAAAACCAAAGUGCAAUCAAUACGGUAGAACUCACCUUGGACAAUGUUGAGCACAUACCAGAACAUGUUUCAAAUGUGGAAAGGAAGACACUUCAUUGGGGACUGCUAGGAAAAUGGUACACAACAAGAAAAGACUAAUGCUUGAGUAUUCACACUCAACGAGACGGAUGCAUAAGGAAACCUCUCAGUAAUAUCAGGUGAACUAUCUAACUCCAAAACUCAUGCAUAUGUGCUAAUAAACUCAGGAGCUACACAUUCAUUUGCCUCACCAGCAUUCAUUAAGAAAAUAAAAAAUGUCCCUGGCAUAAUAAAUAGGCCUUUUAGUGUCAUGGUAUCAUCUGGUGAAAUAUUGAAUUCAGGACAAUUAGUUAAGGCAUGUGAGGUUGGUAUUAGUGGUAAUACACUAUAUGUUGACCUAAUAAUUAUUAAGAUGCAUGACUAUGACAUAAUUCUUGGCAUGGAUUGGCUAUGGAAGCACUUUGCCAAGAUAUAUUGUAAGAAAAAAAAGGUAACUUUUCGACCAUUACAAAAGGAAUCGUUUACAUUUAAAGGAGAAUGCAAAGAGAACAAAAUGUCUAUCAUUUCUACAUUAAAAGAAGCUAGACUAUUAAAUGGAGGAUGUGACGGGUACUUGGCAUGUGUGGUCAUCGAAACAUAGGGUGCGUUUGGGAUUGAGGUUGGGCAGCUGUAGCUUAAAAGCUACAGCACUAAAGUGUUUGGUAAACACUAGCUGUUGUAGCUUUUAAGCUAUAUUGUUAUGAUUUUUCACUUGUAUAAUAUAAAAUUUAUUAUGUCUUUAAUAAUUUUAUCAAAAUUAUUAUUUAAAUUUUAUAUUUACUAUAUAUUAUUAACUUUUGUUUCAUAAUUACAACUUUUUUUUUCACAGCAACUGUAGUUUAAAAGGUACAGCACCUCAAUCCCAAACGCACCCAUAAGAGCAAAGACCAAAUUUGAAAGAUAUUUCAAUGGUGAACGAAUUUCAUGAGGUCUUUCUUGAAAAACUCACAAGAUUGCCACUGAAUUGAGAAAUUGAAUUCAAAAUCGAUUUGCUAACAAGAACUGCUCCAAUUUCAAAGGCGCUUUAUAAGAUGUCCCCACCAGAACUAAAAGAGUUAAAGAGUCAAUUGCAAGAAUUACUAGACAUGCAAAUGUGAAGCACCAGUAUUGUUCGUAAAAAAGAAGGAUGGAUCAAUGCAAAUGUGCAUCGACUACUGAGAGCUGAAUAAGGUGACUAUCAAGAACAAAUACCUGCUUCCACGCAUUGAUGACUUGUUCGAUUAAUUGCAAGGAGCAGCGGUAUUUUUAAAGAUUAAUCUAUGAUCAGGAUAUCACCAGUUGAGAAUCAGGGAAGAAGAUAUUCUUAAAACAGUAUUCAGAAAACUUUAUGGACACUAUAAGUUUGUCGUAAUGCCAUUUGGUCUAACUAAUGCCCCAACAGCCUACAUGGACCUCAUGAACAUGGUAUUUAAAGACUACCUAGACAAAUUCAUAGUGGUAUUCAUUAAUGAUAUUUUGGUCUACUCACGAUCAAAGGAAGAGCAUGUUAAGCACUUAAGGAUUUUUCUUCAGACCUUGAAAGAGAAGCAACUUUAUGCAAAACUAAAAAAAUAUGAGUUUUAGCUUGAAAAAGUAACUUUCCUUGGACACGUGGUGUAUAAGGAUGGAAUUUUAGUAGACCCCUUAAAGGUGGAAGAUGUAAGCCAAUUGUCUAGAUCGACUAAUGCCAAAAAAGUCAAAAGCUUCUUGGGUUUGGCUGGAUACUACCGAAGAUUUGUGGAAGGUUUCUCGAAGAUCGCAAUGCCACUGACCCAGUUAACAAAGAAAAAUACUAAGUUUCUAUGGACUCUAGAAUGCUUGAAAAGUUUUAAAGAACUAAAAAGACGACAAAUCACUACUCCAAUCCUAGCCGUUCCUAGUAGCUCUGAGGAAUUUGUCAUCUAUAGCGAUGCCUCUAAAAUGGCAUAGGAUGUGUCCUCAUGCAAAAUGGGAAAGUCAUUUCAUAUGCUUCCAGACAAUUGAAAGAAUAUGAGAAAAAUUAUCCAACGCAUGAUUUACAGUUGGCAGUACUAAAAAUAUGGCAUUACUAUUUAAUGAGGGCGCAUUGUAAGAUUUACACUGAUCAUAAGAACCUCAAAUACUUCUUUACACAAAUGGAGUUAAAUAUAUGACAAUUACGUUGGAUAGAGCUUGCCAAGGAUUACGAUUGUGAAAUAAACUAUCAUCCUAGAAAAGCAAACAUGGUAGCAGAUGCACUAAGUAGAAAGUCAAGCUUGUCAGCUUUAAGGAUUCUACCUAAACCAUUACAAGAUGACAUAUGCAAGGCAGAAAUCGAGCUAGUAGUAGGAAAAUUAGCUAACAUGACACUUCGUUCAACUUUAUUAGAAAAGAUUAAAGAGGGGCAGGAAAGUGAUUCCAACUUGAAGAAGUUGAAGAUAGAAGCCAACUCAAAGGAGAUGUCAUUUAAAAGUUAGAGAGGGGAAUCAUCUUUUGCAAGGACAGGAUAUGUGUGCCAGACAAUAAAGAUAAAAAAGAAAGAAAUUCUAUUUGAAGCUCACACAACUCCACGUUCACUUUACCUUGGUAUAACAAAAAUGUACAAAAACUUAAAGAAGAAUUAUUGGUGGCCUGGAAUGAAGAAAGAUAUAGUGGAGUUCGUGAAAAAAUGUCUCACUUGUCAAUAAAUCAAAGUGGAGCACGAGAGACUAGCAGGACUUUUGUAAUCUAAUCAAAGCCCUUAAUGGAAAUGGGAAGAAAUCACGAUGGACUUCAUCGUUAUUCUUUCAAAAACUACCAAAAUGCAUGAUGCCAUUUGGGUGAUCAUUGAUCGACUUACAAAGUCUACUCACUUCUUGCCUAUUCGAAUGACGUACACCAUGGACCAACUUGCAGAAAUAUAUGUAAAAGAGAUAGUAAGACUACAUGGUGUGCCCAUUUUUAUUAUUUCUGAUCAAGAUGCAAGGUUUACUUUGACAUUCUGGGAAACGUUAUAUAAGGCUAUGGGGACAAGAUCGAAGUUCAAUAUAACAUUUCACCCUCAAACAGAUGACCAAUCAGAAAGAACGAUUCAGGCGCUUGAAGAUAUGCUGUGAGGAUGUGUUAUUGACUUUGAAAGAUCAUGGAGCAAGUAUUUACCAUUGGUUAAAUUCGCUUACAACAAUAGUUACCAAGCAACAAUUAACAUGGCACCAUACGAAGCUCUAUAUGGUAGAAAAUGUAGAUCGCCUAUUCAUUAGGAUGAGAUGGGCGAGUAAAGACAUCUUGGACCUGAGUUAAUUACUACCUCAUCUGAAGCGAUCAAGAAAAUACGUCAAAGAAUGCAGGCAGCUCAAAGUCGACAGAAAAGUUAUGCAGAUAAGAGGCAAAAGCCUUUGGAAUAUUGGUGACAAAGUAUUUCUAAAGGUUUCCCAAUAAAAGGAUCAAUGAGAUUUAAGAAAAAAGGAAAAUUAAGUUCGAGGUUUAUUAGGUUUUAAUAGAUUUUAAAUAUAAUAGAUUUUAUUUUGAUCACAUUUCCACUAUGUUAUUACAAAAAUCUUCAAUUAACAUGCAGUAUAGUAUCCAAGUCAACUCAAUCAAGUGAAGCUAAUUAAAACUGAGGAUCAAAUAGCACAAUCAACCUUACAUAACAAGCAAGAAUAAUGGAAGCCAUGAAUUAAUCACUAGCCGUUAGACCUCUAUUCGUUUCUUUUAAUUUAACCAGGUGGAAGCCAAGAAUCUUGGGCAAAACACUAUGCCCCAUAUUGUCUAUGUAACCAACAAUUCGUCAAUGAAACUUUUUUUUUUAUGGUAUCACAGCCAAUCUUGAGAGUCACAGACAUGCAUGGUUAUUAUGUUUCAAUGAAAAAGAGUUUGCCACUAGUGAACCUCUUAAGAAAGUUGGCUUGCUUGAAUGUAGAUCAGUAUACAAAAGAAAUUCGAAGCUAUUUGUGAUUGUUUGGCUGACGUCAAGAAACCAGUGGAAGAUGUCGAUAAACAGUGGCAAUUGGCACGUGGACUUGGACCAGACUUGAGACCUGAAGGUAGCGAUGCUGGGAAAACCUCCAUACGGUCAAUUUGGUCCUUUUAAGGUUCAAAAAGUUGAAUUAAUUUUCUUGUAAUGCAAGCUAGUAUCUAAGAUGGUCAAUGGAUCUAGAGAUGGUGGAAAGAAAAAAACACUUAAAGAAAGAUGUAAUUGAUUGAUUAUGUUAACUGCUAGCUCAUUUGUAAAUUUGAAAGAUAACGAAGACUCUAUUGUAAUUCACCCCAUUAAGUGCAGUGUGAUUAUACAAAGAGUAGUAUUAGGCAUCUUAAAAUUUUACCUCAAAUGAUAUGAUAUUCAUAACGAUGGCAUAGUUUAAUUAACUCACGUAAUAUUUGCGAAUAACAUGUUACAUACCAUGCAUAUCACAUAAUAUUUCAGUGUGAAUAUUAUUUUCUCUUUAAUGAUAAAUUGUAUUGUGGGCAUUUAAAUAUACAAUAUUGUAAAAUUUAACUAAAGAGUUGGUGUAACCAAUAUUUUGAUAAGUAUAUCUAAUGAAAUUUCAAAUAAAUUUCAUUUUGACCUUAAAUUCCAAGCGACCUGCAGAAUAUAUACACUACGAUUUAUUCAGAGCAAUCCGAAAACGAAAUAAUAUGAGCUUUCAGUUUGAUUAAAUAUUUUUCCCAAUACAUUCAGAUUUCAGAAAGUUUCAAAAGAAAGCUGAAAAAAUAUAUCAAUAAUUGAAAUGAAAAAAGUUGGAAGGAGGUAUCUAAAAGUCAAUUUCAACGCCAAUGAUGUGUAAUUCCACAUGAGUAAACUAAUUAAUUGCCAUGAGAAAACGAAAAGAAAAGAAAAGAAAGGUGCGUAAAAUUUAAUUUGACAAUAACAGCUACGUUCUCCAACCCCCCCCCCCCCCCCAACACCAAAAAAAGGCAUAAAUUUCGUUUGACAAUGAUGUCCUGAUAUCCAUGAUGUCAACUUGGGAAAGGAAAAAAAAAAAAAACUUCAUCAUAAAGAAAUUUCAUUUGACAUAUUAUCAUUUAUCUUGCUUCGCUUGGUAUCAUUUGUGCAUUUUAUUGUCUUUGAAGCAUAUGAUUUUUUUUGUUUGGUACUAUGUAGGUGUUAUUUUAAUUUAUAUAUUAAGAAACGUGAUUGUUAUAUGGAAGAAAUAUUUUGCUGAAAUAAUGGGAUUCAUUCUAAACCUAGACAUUGACUAGCUAGCCGUACACUGCAAGAAAAUGAGACAUUUCCAAGAAAUAAAAGAUACACUGUCGGAAAUAGACUUAUUUUAUUGUUUAAUGACCCCCAUUAUUUUAUAUAAUAACAUUAUUUUAUUAUUUUAUUAUUUUUACUGUUGAAAUAUCUAUAUUAGGGAAGUAAUGUAACAAACAUAAUAAUAAUAUACGGAAUAUACUAAAUGUAAUUUCAUUAAUUUCAACAAUUUAUAAAAUCACAUUCAUCAUUCAAAAAUGCAACAAAAAUAUCAAUUUUAUAAUAUCUUUUACAAAAAAAAAAUACCAAAGUAUAAACAAAAUGAUAUCACCAUAUCUUAGAUAUGUUCAAUCAUCCUCUAAAACAACUUGAGUUGCUGAAUCAUUUGCCUCAACUUCAUCAUCCUCAUACCCAUCAUCAUCUUCUCUCGUCAAAACAAUGACCUAGGUGAAAGAAGGAAUUUUAAUCAUUAUUAUUACCAAAACAAGAACUUGUAUAAAAUAUAAUCAAGAAGCUGAGACUAAUGAGAAAAAUAUUGUAAUAAAAACAAGUUUAUAUAGAUGCAUAGUCUCCAUUUCAAAAAAUCUAAUAAUUAUUUCAUAAUUCACCUAUAUUAGAAAAUUGUCCAUAAUUACUUAAGUUCAUCAACUAAUAGAGCAAUGACAAGUCACCAAUCAUUUUUUGUGAGAACUCAAAGCAUAGAAAAAUUCAUUCACUUAAUCUAUUAAUAAAAUGAAAUAAACAACCUUUACCUUAUGACAUGAUUCUUGUACAGACUUUCCAAGAACAAGUUUUAUCAUUCUUUUCAACUUCUGGAUUUCUUUCUCUAAGUCUUUUACUUUUACUUCUAAAUUACUACAUUGAUGCUUGUUACGUCCUUGACUUGGAGAAACAUACACAUCCUUGCCUUUGAUGCCUGCUCCCUGACCAACAACACGACCAUGUGCUGCUUCUCUUGUCACUUCUCGAUAUAUUUUCCAUUCAUCCACUGGCAAGCCUUGAUCUACAAUAGUGGAUCUCAUUGAUUCCAUUGUUUCCUAUAAUAAAUAAAUACAUUUGUGCGAGUGCAUAUAGUAAUGAAAUCAUGCAAAUAAAUUAGGAAUAUUAUGAAAAUUUAAUAUCAAAUACACACAUGCAUUUCCUUUGCCUUGUUACUUGCCAAUGUCCCCUUACAUGAAACAUCUUGAAUAAAUUAAGUGGAUUAAGUUCAGUACCUAUUUGUUACUGCAAUAAAGAAUUGAAAUUGAAUUUGAUCAUAAUAAAUAAACGCACUACUUUUAUGAGCAAAGUCAAAUAUUUUAUCUUCCCAUUUUCUUUUCUAUGCUUAGCCAUUGGGACGAACUUGUAGUAUGAAUAAGUUUGGACUUGGUUCAAUUCCUCUUACUUGUUGUGCUUGUUUUCUAUAUAUAAAUUAAAAAAAAGCAUAAAAUCAACUUUGCUAUUCUAAAUCUAUUGUUGAGUACUAGAGAAUGCAUAUUUAUAAAGGGUAAAAUUGUCAUUUUAUGCUCAAUGUCUCACUAACAUUUUCACUUUUACGUGUUUAAAUUCUCUAAGUUUUUAUUAUCUGUGUUUUAUUAUAAUUUAAGUAUUUUAUGUAUUUCAGGGAUAUUUUGGUCAUUUCAUAACUAACGAGAAGUCAGACAGCAAAACGGAUGGCAUUUUUGAACUCAGAAUGGUUGAAAAUUUUAGGAGGAGUAUAAAUGAGUAUUCGACAUAUAUGUGGUACCGUUCAAAUAUAAGGUAAUAUUCACAAGUACAGCAUUGUUUCACAUAUACGAUAUGAUAAUGUGGCAUUGCAAUGAUGUAGCAGGAUGCUACUGGACCAAAAUACUGAUGUAGCAUUGACUGAUGAUGUGGCAGCAUCUUAUGGGACCGAAAUGCUGAUGUGGUGUUGACUAAUGAUGUGUACCAACUAAUCAAAGCUUGCCAUGUGGUGCAAUCGUGAGCGUCCGAAUUAUUUUCAUCUGAUGGCCACGAUUUACCCAUUGUAUAUAUAAUAGAGGGCUCCUCAGCCUAAUUUAACACCCUUGAAUUCAUUUUCGAGCUCCAUUUUCUAUAAUUCUCUCACCAUCUUGUAUUUUCUACAUAUUUUAAUAAAAUUAUCAGUUUACCCCUUAUUCAAUAAUAAGUGGCUAAUUUUGUUUCAAACUUGGGUUAAAGGUAAAAUCUCAACAUGAUCCAUGGGCUUAGGUAAAUUUAAUUUAUUUUUCUUUUUUAUUUAUGUUGUUGUUUUGAUUCAUUGCCAUAAUAUAAGAAACUUUGCAUCUGAUAACUUUUCCAACCUUUUAUGAUGUAGAUUUUUCUGAAAGUUGAAUUGCAAUUCAAUGUUUGCUUAUCCAAUUAUUUAUUGGACAAAAAGGAAUUAAAAAUAAAACUUUAGUCAUUUUAAAAGAAUCGAACAUGCUACCAACUCUCUUGUUAGAAGUUGUAAUUUCAUUUAUAGAUUCUAGGCUUCCAUGAACUUGUGAAGUAUUAAGUUAUCUCUUGCAAAAAAAAUGUAUUCACUCUAAUGGAACUAAUUAUUAUGGGAAAGGUGAUGUUUCUAGUUCUGGAUAAUUUCUUUUUCUUUAAUGCAUAUAGUUAUUUUAGCCUACAUUUCUUUGUUAGUUAGAUAAUUCACAUAUAUGCAAAUGAAUUAUUUAUUCCAUUUACAUUUCUUUGCUAAAAAAAAUAAAAACAAUUUAAUAAACUGAUGCAAAUGCUAUUAUUAUUACUAAUUUGCAGGCUAUUUGCUAUGACUUCGACAAUGGUGUCUAUCAUAAAUAACAUUACUUUCUUUUAUAAUUCUUCUAAAGGUAUCAAUUGAGAAUUUAGUGCAAACUUUAGCUAUUUUGCAAUAGAUUUGUUGUCAAAAUAGCUGCUGAAAGUUUACAGGAGCUUUUUUUUUUCUACAGUAAAGCACCCCUUGGUAAAUUGCAAGGGUUGUUUUCACUAUAGAACGAAAAUAAGACAGCCUUUGUAGAUUUUUAGGGGCUUUUUGCUGUGUUCUAAAGUCAAAACAGCUCUUAGCAAUUCUUUGGACUAUUUUGUUUUGAAAACAUUUUGAAGAUUGUUGAGGAAAAAGGGAAAUAGCAGCAUUAUUUUUUUAGGAGGCUUGAUGAUGAGUUUGAUAAAUUUUGCAAGUGUUACCAGACUAAAGUUAAAAAGUUUAUGUUGAGGCUAAAAGUUUAGGUGAGUAAAUGCACAUUUUGGUCCCUCUCGGGAUGAAAACUAAGAAAUUGGAAGGAGUUAUGCAGGAUUCUGUACAACAAGCCUGAAGAACAAAAGCAUGAAAGCGGGAUGAUUUUGAAAAUUCUUGAAUAGUAUAUAUCUCUACUUGCUUUUAUACUAUAUCUGUGGCAUUAUUUUUGAAGUUUGACAAUAUUAAUCUUGCAAUUAAUACUUUAAUGCAAAGAAGGAAUACACUCAGGAUGAACUUAAUGAGGUUCUUUUGGAGUGGGCUAACCAUUUUUUUCCACAUCCUGGUCGCAUUUGCAAAUUGGUUAGUAUAAGUAUGAAACUAUAGAUGCACCUUGUUAUUAGUUGUUACAAUUUGUUGAAAUUAAAGUUGAAGUGUUAAACUAUAAAGGUUGUUGUUAAGGAUUGUAGUAUAGAUGAUAUGCAUUUGAUAAUAUUAGGUAUUUUGAUUGAUUUUAGUGUAGAUUGGGUUGCUGAGUAUAGGUCAGAGUACUUUAUGGACACUAUAAGUUUGUCGUAAUGCCAUUUGGUCUAACUAAUGCCCCAACAGCCUACAUGGACCUCAUGAACAUGGUAUUUAAAGACUACCUAGACAAAUUCAUAGUGGUAUUCAUCAAUGAUAUUUUGGUCUACUCACGAUCAAAGGAAGAGCAUGUUAAGCACUUAAGGAUUUUUCUUCAGACCUUGAAAGAGAAGCAACUUUAUGCAAAACUAAAAAAAUAUGAGUUUUAGCUUGAAAAAGUAACUUUCCUUGGACACAUCGUGUCUAAGGAUGGAAUUUUAGUAGACCUUUUAAAUGUGGAAGAUGUAAACCAAUUGUCUAGAUCGACUAAUGCCAAAAAAGUCAAAAGCUUCUUGGGUUUGGCUGGAUACUACGGAAGAUUUGUGGAAGGUUUCUCGAAGAUCGCAAUGCCACUGACCCAGUUAAUAAAGAAAAAUACUAAGUUUCUAUGGACUCUAGAAUGCUUGAAAAGUUUUAAAGAACUAAAAAGACGACUAAUCACUACUCCAAUCCUAGCCGUUCCUAGUAGCUCUGAGGAAUUUUUCAUCUAUAACGAUGCCUCUAAAAUGGCAUAGGAUGUGUCCUCAUGCAAAAUGGGAAAGUCAUUUCAUAUGCUUCCAGACAAUUGAAAGAAUAUGAGAAAAAUUAUCCAACGCAUGAUUUAGAGUUGGCAGUACUAAAAAUAUGGCAUUACUAUUUAAUGAGGGCACAUUUUAAGAUUUACACUGAUCAUAAGAACCUCAAAUACUUCUUUACACAAAUGGAGUUAAAUAUACGACAAUGACGUUGGAUAGAGCUUGCCAAGGAUUACGAUUGUGAAAUAAACUAUCAUCCUAGAAAAGCAAACAUGGUAGCAAAUGCAAUAAGUAUAAAGUCUAGCUUGUCAGCUUUAAGGAUUCUACUUAAGCCAUUACAAGAUGACAUAUGCAAGGCAGAAAUCGAGCUAGUAGUAUGAAAAUUAGCUAACAUGACACUUCGUUCAACUUUAUUAGAAAAGAUUAAAGAGGGGCAGAAAAGCGAUUCCAACUUGAAGAAGUUGAAGAUAGAAGCCAACUCAAAGGAGAUGUCAUUUAAAAGUCAGAAAGGGGAAUCAUCUUUUGCAAGGACAGGAUAUGUGUGCCAGACAAUAAAGAUAAAAGAAAGAAAUUCUAUUUGAAGCUCACACAACUCCAUGUUCACUUUACCUUGGUAUAACAAAAAUGUACAAAAACUUAAAGAAGAAUUAUUGGUGGCCUGGAAUGAAGAAAGAUAUAGUGGAGUUCGUGAAAAAAUGUCUCACUUGUCAAUAAAUCAAAGUGGAGCACGAGAGACUAGCAGGACUUUUGUAAUCUAAUCAAAGCCCUUAAUGGAAAUGGGAAGAAAUCACGAUGGACUUCAUCGUUAUUCUUUCAAAAACUACCAAAAUGCAUGAUGCCAUUUGGGUGAUCAUUGAUCGACGUACACCAUAGACCAACUUGCAGAAAUAUAUGUAAAAGAGAUAGUAAGACUACAUGGUGUGCCCAUUUUUAUUAUUUCUGAUCAAGAUGCAAGGUUUACUUUGACAUUCUGGGAAACGUUAUAUAAGGCUAUGGGGACAAGAUCGAAGUUCAAUAUAACAUUUCACCCUCAAACAGAUGACCAAUCAGAAAGAACGAUUCAGACGCUUGAAGAUAUGUUGUGAGGAUGUGUCAUUGACUUUCAAAGAUCAUGGAGCAAGUAUUUACCAUUGGUUAAAUUCGCUUACAACAAUAGUUACCAAGCAACAAUUAACAUGGCACCAUACGAAGCUCUAUAUAGUAGAAAAUGUAGAUCGCCUAUUCAUUAGGAUGAGAUGGGCGAGUAAAGACAUCUUGGACCUGAGUUAAUUACUACCUCAUCUGAAGCGAUCAAGAAAAUACGUCAAAGAAUGUAGGCAGCUCAAAGUCGACAGAAAAGUUAUGUAGAUAAGAGGCAUAAGCCUUUGGAAUAUUGAUGACAAAGUAUUUCUAAAGGUUUCCCAAUAAAAGGAUCGAUGAGAUUUAAGAAAAAAGGAAAAUUAAGUUCGAGGUUUAUUAGGCCAUUUGAAAUACUUGAUCGUGUCGGGAAUGCUUCCUACCGACUUGCCAUCAUACCAUCAUUAUCAAGAAUGCAUAAUGUCUUUCAUGUCUCCACGCUAAAGAAAUACGCCCCCUAUGUGCUAGAUUAUAAACCUUUUCAACUAGAAGGAGACCUAACUUAUGAAGAACGUCUAAUUCAAAUUCUUGAUAGAAAGAUAAAAGAUUUAAGGAAUAAGAAGAUCCCUUUAGUUAAAAAACUUUGGCAAAAUAACUCAGUAGAGGAGACAACAUGGGAACGUGAGGAAGAGAUGAAGAAUAAGCAUCCUAAGUUAUUAAGUAAGUAAAUUUCGAGGAUGAAAUUUUUAAAAAGGGGGAGGAAAUUGUGAGGUACAAUUUUCUCCCUUAAAUAUAAUAGAUUUUAUUUUAAUCUAACAAGCCACUAAAAUUUAUAAUAUUUAAUUUUAAGGAAUGAUGACAUAAGUAAUGAUAUAAGAAAUGAUGACAUAAGUGAUGAUGUAAGAAGAAGUAUGUAGAGAAAGUUAAGACUUAUUGAAUUUAGUAAGUUAUUUAUGAAGAUUAAUCUCAACCAUUGAUCAAGAGUUGUGGUGGCAAAAUCCUAACCAUCCAUUAGCUUUAAGAAAUUCUAUAAAUACCCCCCACCGCUUCUCAUUUUCAAUGCAACCUAAAAAUUUAAUUCCCUUAUAUUCUAAGUCAUAAUAACAAGAGUAAAUGAAUCCUUAAUUUAGAAAGAUAUAGAGAAGUUAAGAUCAAGAGGUAAGUAACACUUCAACUACAAUGUAAGGAUAAAAUUCUUUUCAUACUUAAGUUCAGUUUUAACAAUUUCUUUAUAUUAUGAUGGCUAUUAUAGUGUGAUUAGUUAUAUCUUUAUAUGGUCGCCCUUGCCGCCUAAUAUAUAAUGCUAUGGUCGGCUCUGGCACAUAAUAUGUGAUGUUAUGGUCGACUCUGCCGCCUAAUAUGUGAUGUUAUGGUCGCCUCUGCCGCCUAAUAUGUGAUACUUAUACUUAAUUAUACUAUGGUCGGGUAUGCUGCCUAUACUAAAGACUCUUGUUUUUAAAUAAUGUUGUGUGUUGAUUUUGUUAUGCAUCGAGGAAUUUCAAAUGUUAUAAGUUGCAUUGGAUGCAUGCAUAUCAUGGACUACAUUAUAAAGAAAAUGUUUCAAAAAAUGAAUGUAUGAAAAAUAAGUAGUUGUACUACCAGGUGGCAAAAUUCUAAGGAGGGGAAGCCCUCAAAGCUAAGUUAAAAGAAAUAUUUUGGGGAUGGCGAUAUGUAACACCCAAAAGAUUAACUAAUGAGGCCCAAAGGCAUAUUGUUUAAAGAGUAAAAGUGCCAGCUUUGUAGUGCAAUAUACUUAGGGUGUAAAUAAAGUUGUUUUGUAUUUUCUAAGUUUAUUUUAAGAGCUUAAUAUGGUAAUCCAUAUGCAUAAUAAUUUAUACAUGCAUCAAAGUGUUAUCUUACUUGACAUUAGCUCCCUAAGUCCUUAGAUUGCAGGUAACGAUGAGUAGGGCAAGUUGGUGUCAAGUCCUAAUCAAGACGAAGUGCAUAUGGGCAUAAUAGACCUUGGGAUUUUAUACUGGGCUCAGCUUUGUUUCAAUAAAAAUAAACAUCUUAGUUUUGUGUAAAAUAAAGUUUUUAUACUAAGGAGUUUCUAUAUGACUCUUACUUUUUGUAAGAAUGUUUGUUUGUUGUAAACUUUUAGAAUUCGUAUUUAUAUUAAAAGUAACUAUGUUUUUAAGUAUUUUUAAGUAAAUAAUAUAGUGGAGUGUUGCAUUUUUGCCCCGCUCUACUCUGCUAGCUUACACAAUACUUGUUUUCUAUUUAAUUAAAAAUUAAAACAACAGAUAUCCUUAAAAUAUCUAGAUCGUGAAAUAUGGAUUUCGAAAAAGCCGACCCCCUGCUCUUAAGAGAUGAUCGUUCAACCAAGAAUGCCAGUUUUUUUUCAAUUUAGGAGCUGAAGGAGAUAAUCUGGUCACUCUCUCUUGCAGGGACAAACUGUUGGAGUCUCAAAGAACUGUUGCGGAGGAUCUAAUUUCAGAAGAUGAUGCAUUGGAGUUUGAGCCCGAAGAGAUUAUGGUUGAACAUGGGAUGACUAUGCCAUCUAUUUCUUUCUCUCUGAGAAUGCAUGCACAAUUGGUUAGGCCAUUGCAGUAUGCGGUGGUGGUUAAAUUACUUGGGCGAUCGAUUCGCUAUCGAGCCCUUUGUAAUCGUUUGGGAGCAUUAUGGAAUUCAACUACAAGUUUUAAUGUUAUUGAUUUGGAAAAUAAGUAUUUCUUAAUCCGGUUUAAAUCCAAAGAAGACAUGGGUUUUAUUUUAACACAAGGACCAUGGACGAUAAUUGGGCAUUAUUUAAUCGUCUAGCCAUGGUCGCCACAGUUUGAUAGUUUGAAGAAGAAGUGUGAUUCUAUCACAUUAUGUAUUAGGUUACUUGGGAUGACACUUCACUACUAUCAUAAGCGCAUCUUUAAGAUGAUUGGACAGAAAAUAGCAAUGUUGUUCGGAUAGCUUAUAAUACGGAGUUCGCGACAAGAGGCAAGUUUGUGAGAAUUGCAGUUGAAGUCUCAUUUUCAAAUCCUCUGGUCUUACAAUUUCUUUUGGAUGGUAAGGUCCAGAAAGUCAAGUAUGAGAAUCUCCCAAUUAUUUGUUUUAGCUGUUGAAAAUAUGGUUACUAUAAUGAGGCCUACCCUGAUAGAGUUACGAGAAAUGAAACAAUGAGAGAGAAGGGGCUCGGUGGUGAGAAAGCCACUACCGAAGUUUUGUUAACAUAAAUAUUCUUUUAUUAUUGAUUUUAAUGAUAAUAACUUGAUUAAGAUUAAUUAAUCUUUUAAAAGCUCAAAAUAGUUUUCAUAUACUUUUAAAUCAUCAUUCUCACUUUAUAAAGACUUUAUAUUCUAUGAAAAUAUUUUUAGUUAUUCUCAUGUUAAUGGUUUCAAUUGAAAAAGCUUUAAGAAUUUUGAUAAUAACAAGUAUUGCUUCAAAUCCUAUCAAUGGACCUAUUUGACAAGUCUUAUAAAGUUUUAGGCCAUAGUAUAAUUUUAUAAAAUUUUUAGGGCCAAGCUAUAAUUUUACAAAAAUAGUUCAUUGUAGCAAUCACUGCUGAAAACGGUGAUCCCACAUCUUGAUAACGGCUCACCGACAUCGAACAGAAUUGAAGAUUAGUCUCUGGACAGUAACGGUAAUCCGACAUCUAGAUAAAGGCGAUUCNNNNNNNNNNNNNNNNNNNNNNNNNNNNNNNNNNNNNNNNNNNNNNNNNNNNNNNNNNNNNNNNNNNNNNNNNNNNNNNNNNNNNNNNNNNNNNNNNNNNNNNNNNNNNNNNNNNNNNNNNNNNNNNNNNNNNNNNNNNNNNNNNNNNNNNNNNNNNNNNNNNNNNNNNNNNNNNNNNNNNNNNNNNNNNNNNNNNNNNNNNNNNNNNNNNNNNNNNNNNNNNNNNNNNNNNNNNNNNNNNNNNNNNNNNNNNNNNNNNNNNNNNNNNNNNNNNNNNNNNNNNNNNNNNNNNNNNNNNNNNNNNNNNNNNNNNNNNNNNNNNNNNNNNNNNNNNNNNNNNNNNNNNNNNNNNNNNNNNNNNNNNNNNNNNNNNNNNNNNNNNNNNNNNNNNNNNNNNNNNNNNNNNNNNNNNNNNNNNNNNNNNNNNNNNNNNNNNNNNNNNNNNNNNNNNNNNNNNNNNNNNNNNNNNNNGUAGGUGAGGUUGGCCGAGCCACAUAAAAAUCCUUGUGUUUGAAUCUCUCUUCCCUUAUCUUUUUAUAUUGUAAUAAAUUUAUUUGUUAUUGCUUUAAAUUUGUUUUAGAUUUGCAUUCAGCUUUGCUUUAAAAAUUAAUAAUUUUUAGAAUCCCCAUUCACCCCCUCUUGGGUUGCAUAACUAGAAUUUCAUUUGGUAUCAGAGCCUUGUUCUCUUGUUAGGACUUAAUCAUCUAGAGUAAAAGAUCCAUGGCAACCCUAAAUGACUUAAUCUUUAGAGAAGGACAAUUCACAACUAGACUACCGUUCUUUGACGGUAAUGACUAUGCGUAUUGGAAAACUAGGAUGAGAAUCUAUUUGCAAGCUUUAGAUUAUGAAAUUUGGGAAGUUGUUUGUGAUGGUCCAUUCAUGCCUAUGAUUAAAAAUGAAGUAGGAGAUGAUAUUCUUAAACCAUAAAGUCAAUAGAGUGAGUUAGAAAAGAGAAAUAUGUCCUUAAACUCCAAGGAAAUUAAUGCCUUGUUUUGUGCUUUUGACAAGAAAGAAUUCCAUAGAGUAUCUAGUUGUGAGAGUCCCAUUGAAAAUUGGCACAAACUUGAAGUUGUCUAUGAAGGCACAAAUCAAGUGAAAGAGUCGAAGAUUAGUAGGUACACUCAACAAUAUGAGUUGUUACAAAUGGAACAAAUUGAGAGUGUGUACUCUAUGUAUACUAAAUUUACGGACAUAGUAAACACCCUAGAAGCUCUAGGAAAGACCUUCUUAAAUAGCGAGAACGUUAAGAAAAUCAUUUGGUCACUUCCAAAAGAAUGAAGACCUAAAAGAACUGUUAUUGAAGAGGCCAAAAAUUUAAAUACUUUACCCCUUGAUGAUUUAAUUGGUUCUCUCAUUUCAUAUGAAGAAUAUUUGGCAGCAGAGAAAGGACAUGAGGAGAAAAAGAAAAAUAUUGCUCUCAAAGCCUUAAAAUAUGAGAGUGAUGGGGAGAGUGAACCGGAUAAUGAAGAGCUGGCCAUGCUAGCAAGGAAGUUCAGAAAAUUUUUCAAGAAAACCAAUGAACGAAGAAAAUUCAAAAACUUCAAGAACCAAAGGGAGAAGAAAGAGGUAAUCACAUGCUAUGAAUGUAAAAAGCCCGGCCAUAUAAGAUCGAAGUGCCCACUUAUCAACAAACUCAAGAAGAAAUCCAUGGUUGCAACUUGGGAUGAUAGCGAUGAAGAUUCAAGUCAUGAAGAAGAGUCGCAAGAAGUAUCAAACCUAGCACUCAUGGCAAUAGGAGAUGAUGAUAAUCUCGAUGAGGUAAGUAAUCCUACUUAUGAUGAAUUGUGUGAUGCUUUUAAAGAAUUGCAUAAUGAGUUGAUGAAGAUUGAUAAAAAGAAUGUAUGUCUUAAAAAGGAAAUGGUAAAGCUCAAAAAUGAAAAUGAAUCUCUAAAUGCAAAAAUUACAUGCUUAGAAGUAGAGAACAAAACAUUGCAUGAUAGAAUUGCAUUAUCAAAUAAGAAAGCUAGCACCUCACAUGAGCAUUUAGAAUCACAUAUAGAUGAUUUGAAAAAUGAAAAUGAAACGCUUAAGAAAAAAAGAAAUGAGUUAAAUGAAAUUGUUUUAAAAUUUACAAAUGGGCAAAAGAUGUUGGAUAACAUGCUCAAUUCACAAAAAUGUGUUUUUGACAAAAAGGGUAUUGGGUAUAAGCCAAACUUGAAACAAAAUAUUAUAAGAACUACUUUGUGAAGAGUACAUCUAGUAGCAAUCAAGUUGUAUGUCAUUUCUAUAAUCAAGAUGGUCAUAUGAAAAAUAGGUGUUCAGUAAAAAGAAAUACAUAUUAUGGUAUGAAAUGCAUUUGGGUUCCAAAAGGAACCAUUGCUAAUUCUCAAGGACCCAAAAAGCUUUGAGUACAUAAAACUUGAAAUUUGCUCUACAGGGCAUGAAGAAGAAGAAAAUAAAUGGUACUUGGACAAUGGUUGUUCAAGGCACAUGAUCGGAAACUAUGCAUGGUUCUCAAGCUUCACCAAAAUUGAAAAUAGUGGAGACAUAUCUUUUGGAGACAACUCAAAAGGCAAAAUUCUCAGAAUUGGAAAUGUUGGUAAAGUUUCAUCAACUCUAAUUGAGAAUGUAUGUUUGGUUGAGAACUUAAAACACAACUUGAUUAGUAUUAGUCAAUUAUUUAACAAAGGUUAUAAAAUUAUUUUUGAUAAAUUUAGUUGUGUCAUUGAGAAUUCAUGUGAUGGCAAGAUCUUAUUUGUUGGAAAUAGAUGUGGUAAUGUUUAUAUAAUUGACAUAGAAUGUGCAUCUACUCUUGAUAAAUGUUUUUCGGCAUUGCAUGAUGAUAGUUGGUUAUGACAUAGAAAACUAGGACAUGCAAGUAUGGAUUUGAUUUCAAAAAUUUUGAAAAAUGAUUUAGUCAAAGGUCUUCUAAAAAUCGGUUUUCAAAAGGAUAGAAUUUAUAAAGCUUGUCAAUUUGGGAAAAAAUUCAAAACAUCUUUUAAAAACAAAAAUCAUAUUUUCACUUAAAAACAACUUCAACUUCUUCACGUAUAUUUGUUUGGACCUUCAAGGUAUGCUAGCUUGAAUGGAAAAUAUUACACUUUUGCAAUUGUUGGUGAUUUUUCAAGAUACACAUGUGUAUUAUUCUUAACUAAUAAUGAUGAUGCUCUUGAUGCUUUUAAAGUACUUUGUAAGAAAAUUCAAAAUGAAAAAGGGUAUGGUAUUGUAUGCACUAGAAGUGAUCAUGAAGGCAAGUUUGAAAACUAUGCAUUUGAAACCUUUUGCAAUAAUCUUGGCAUUUUGCACAAUUUUCAUCACCUAGAACUCCACAACAAAAUGGAAUUGUUGAGAGAAAGAAUAGGUCAAUUCAAGAAAUGGCUAGGACUAUAUUGAAUGAAAAUUCUUUGCCUAAGUAUUUUUGGGCCGAGGCCGUCAACACCGCUUGUUAUGUUUUAAAUCGUGUGUUGAUUAGAUCUAAUCUUAAUAAAACUCCAUAUGAGCUUUGGAAAGAUAGAAAACCCAAUAUUGGUUAUUUCAAAGUUUUUGGAUGCAAAUGCUUUAUUUUGAACACAAAAGAUAAUCUUGGCAAAUUUGAUCCAAAAUCCAAUGUUGGUAUUUUUCUUGGAUAUUCAAAUUCAAGUAAAGCUUAUAGAGUUUAUAACAAAAGAACUCUAAUUGUAGAAGAAUCUAUGCAUGUUACAUUUGAUGAAUCUAACCCCUCCUCUGCGGAGAAAGGAAUUACUUAUGAUGAUGCAGAUGGAAAGUUACAAGAAGAAUCAUCAAAGGAUAAACAAGAGAAUGCACCACAAAGAAAUCAAGAGAACGGACAAGAAGAGAAAACAAAUAUGGAACAAUAUGAAGGUACUUCUCAAGCACUCCCCAAGGAGUGGAGGUAUAUUUCUUCACAUCCUAAGGAUGUAAUUUUAGGAGAUCCCUCACGAGGUGUUACAACUAGAUCAUCACUUAGGAAUGCUUGUGAGCAUAAUGCAUUUAUUUCUCAAAUUGAACCCAAAUCCUUUGCGGAUGCAGAAAAUGAUGAAUCUUAGAUUAUGACAAUGCAAGAGGAGUUAAAUCAAUUUGAGAGAAACAAUGUGUGGGAAUUAGUUCCUAAACCGAAACAUCAAUCUAUCAUAGCUACUAAAUAGGUUUUUAGGAAUAAGAUGGAUGAAUCCGGUGUGGUUGUAAGGAAUAAAGCUACAUUAGUUGCUCAAGGUUAUAACCAAGAAGAAGGAAUUGAUUUUGAUGAAACAUUUGCACCCGUAGCUAGAUCAGAAUCAAUUAGAAUGUUGUUAGCAUUUGCAUAUCAUAAAGACUUCAUUUUAUUUCAAAUAGAUGUGAAAAGUGUUUUCUUAAAUGGUUAUAUUAUGGAAGAAGUGUAUGUAAAGCA